Molecule: long non-coding RNA, 73855 nt
Filed under: Malus domestica (apple)
Lineage: Eukaryota; Viridiplantae; Streptophyta; Magnoliopsida; Rosales; Rosaceae
Description: long non-coding RNA (MDOM_LNC004262)
Source: RNAcentral
CAUCACUCGAGUGUUUGGAUCUAUGACCACUUGAGUGGUAGUAUUUUGUUUUCGUUCAUUGCUACAAUUGAGAUAUGGAAAUCUCAUCCGUUUAGUGAUGGGUUAUUUCCAUACUCUCAAACUAGCCAGUUUGAACCAGAACCAGUUUGUCAGCCAAAAUAAAAAAUCAUGUCAAGUCAAGUCAAGAAUCAAGAAUCAAGAACCAGUUUUCCAGUUUGUCAGUCAAGUCAAGUCAAGAAUCAAGUCAAGUUAAGUUUGCAUGUCUGCCAAUCCGUCUAACGGAGCCAGUCCGCAUCUGCAUGUUUGCAAACUCAUGUCGUAUAUCGCCAUGAGUUUGACGAGGGAUGUUGGAAUAUAUUAGUAUUUUAGGUAUUAUAUUGUUUGGGUUUUCUUAUAAGUUUAGUUUGGGCCUAGCCUGUCAGCAUUAGGGUUAGGGUUAGUUUAUUAUAAAUAGAGUGUUUUGUUAUUCAUUAGAGAAUAAGCCAGUCAUAAUGUAGCUUUUAGGGUUUUGUAGCCGUUUCGGCAUUCUCGUUUAUUUAAUAAAAUUCUUAUUUUGUUAGUCUUAUUCAUGGCGUACUCUGAUAUUCAACUAUGUAUCUAUCUGCUGUUCAUUAAAAUAAGUAUUUUUACAUGGAUUUUUUAGGGUAUUGCAAAUUUGGACAGGAUAUGGUUUGUGAUUUUCCCUACCAUUUUUCAAUUUAUAAACGUAUUUUGCUUCAUGUUUUUUCGUUCUCCCUACCAAUCUAUCAUGCAUCUAUUCCCUGAUUGAAAGAUUUAGCGUAAAUCGCUUUGUUUCUUUUUUGCAUUAAUUCUUAAGGAAAGUACAACAGUACACGAAAAAAUCGAAGCCCGUAUUUAACACAAUACAUCUUUUGUACACCCUCUCUCAAACUAGUUAAGAUCAUUCCGUCCUAGUUUCUAAAGAAGUACUGAGAAACCAUUUUUUCUUGAUUCCCCCGCACUAAAUUCACUCUUGAGUCACUAACCCAAGAGAUAUCCUUGAUACUGAUCAAGCCUAACCAAUAGGCCGUCCCACAAUUAAGCCCAAGCCUCUAUUUUCAUUAGAGAGUGGUAAUACUUCCAUCCACUCACCACAAUACCAAUGCAUGGAAAACCAUCGAUGCAUGUGCAGUGAUGCUCUCUUGAUCUUGACCAUCAGAACACAAAAUAAAGGUUGAGAUUUAACUAAAUCUCUUAAAUUUUAUUUGGUUCAAUUUUAACCGCUCACUUGUGAAAGAUUUUUGUAGAUGAUUUGGAUGGUUAGCGUUUUUAUCUUCAAUACUAUUUCUUCGAUUCAAACCUCCCCAUAACUAAGUUGAGUUUUAUCCCCAUAACUAAGUUGCAUAACGUUUUUAUCUCAACAACCUCCCCCAUAACUAAGUUGAGAUUUAUCCAAGCCCGAAGUAGCCACUGUCAAAACAAUGAACGACGACUUGUGUUACCAUGCAAUACAAUGGAGUAGGUCAACCAAAACAGUGGGGGAAAACCCUCAAACUCGAGCAUUCCGAACAAAACUCACAAGGAUGUUUAAGUCUAACAUUAAGAGCCUCACUUAAUUCUGCAACAGAAGAAAAUUUGUUACCGAAAACCUGCGAGUCUCUUAAAGUAGAGGUGUAAAGAUAGUGAAAUUUUUCUUUAUACCACCAUUGCCUUCGAUCACCUCCACGAGCUUCUCUCCGUCCGAUGCUGCUGUCAUUGUAGUGAUUAAUAAGUUGAGUUUUCUCACCAAAAAGAUUUUUCAUUUGACAUUUCUUUCAGUGAUGAAAAAGAUGGGAAUACGAAAACAAUCAUGUGUAAUAAUUAAAUAAUACAAAAUUUUCAAACACUUUUCAUUAGUUUUCCUAUAAUAAAACGAGCGGAUGAAGCAAGACUUUUGCUGCAAGUUUUCAGAAUUUUCCUUUAUCAUUCAAAACAGUAACGAUAUACUGAGGAGGGCUUUUCUCUAAGAUGGGAAAACACAAAUGCUUUCAGAUUUAAUAAAUGUAAUAGCUUCAAGCUUUCAGAUGAGUUCUCUACUUUCUACAAUGCUUAUAUUCUGGAACAAGAGAGAAACUUAGCAUAAAACAACUGCUUUCAAUGGAUGGAGAACUUAAAAAUACAUUAAAACUAGGCCAACAUAGACAUUUAAGUUGAGCAUAGAAAUUUAAGUCCAACAUAGACACUAUCCCAAGUGCUUCCACAUUGAACUGGAUCAAGCCGAUAAAAACUGGUUCGGUCAAUUAAAGCAAUGAAUAAUCAAGUACGCGCAAUUGGCCUAGUAUGCCUGCACGCUACCAAAAAAGCCUAGGUCAGAAUCUCUCCACUUGUGGACCUGACAAACUUCAACAUUUCCAUAACAGGAGCCAACAAACACUUCCGAACUGGAACAGGACCUUACAACGGCCACAGACGAACAUAAUUUGCCAAAACGGAACUCUUUUCAAUUGACCCUGCCGAAUGGGAAACACUUGAUUCUUUUUCUUUUUCUUUUUCUUUUAGUUUGGUUGUCUAUGUAUCACGUCAAUCUUCUUCUCCUGACUUGGCUGUUAAUACCUACGAAUAUAACCAAUAAAGCAUGUGAGAUCAAUUGAAAAAAAUUUCUUUUCUUUGGGUAAUUCUAAAGCAAAAGUCACAAAACAAGAAAUAGCCUUAGUGGUACUUUAGUUUUCUCUGACCUUUCAGCAAGUCGGGGGCUACGUCAUAGGACCAGGCGGGGUAGGCGGUCAUUGUUCCGAAGGAUGGCUGUUGAGAGGCUGUUGGUGGGUCACCGCCAAAUGCUCCUUAUUUCUCAAACUAAACCUAGCAGGAGUCCCAAAGUAUCCAACGGCCCAUUCGUUCAAACCGCUAAGUAUUUCUACAGACAACCUAUCACUAGCUAUUCGUACAUCCAUAAAUAGUGUGUAUCUAUGUCGGAGGGUCAUGCAAGGUUGGUGGUCAUUCGUCUGGUGAAGUGGGGAGGGAGCUAGAGUGGGAUGCUGGGGCUGCUGAGGUGGGAAGGGUGCUGGAGGAUGGUUGUUGGGUGACUGCGGGUGGGUCACCACCACACCCUCUUUGUCUCUCAAACUAAAGCUAGCAGGAGUCCCAAAAUAUUCAACAGCCCAUUCGUUCAAACUGCUAAACAUUUCUACAGACAACCUAUCAAUAGCUACUGGUACAUCCAUAAAUAGUGUGUAUCUAAUUGUUGACUCAGCUGGGUACAGAGGAUAUGGAUACAUUCCACCAACCAUUGACCCUAUAUUUAUAUCUCUAUAAUCUUUAAUCCCCGGAAUUUCUCCUAAUUCUAUAUGACGCAUAAUAUGAUAACCAUGUGUUACCAUUACUAAUUGGUUCAGGUCUUCUCCCGUUUCAACACUAAUUUUUUGAGCCAAAUUUAAUCCUGAGUCUGCCGGAUGAACAGUGAUGCUCAUAUUCAAACUUGGAACCGAAACUAAAAAUGAAUUCCUGUAAAAUAUUAUAUGGUAUUAAACAAAUAAAUCUCAUAACUCAACAUUAUGUACAAUUCUAAAGACAUAAAACCUAACUCAACAUUUAUGUACAAUUCUAAAGACUUACAUUAUUGUUGAUCCGUUUUGUAGGGGAGUUAACAGAUUGUACACCUGAGUUGGGACUCGGUGCCUUAACAAAACAAAAAUAAAACUACAUUAUUAAUCAUGUAUUUCUUAUUACAGAACAAACUUUUCCUGAGACAAAAAACAUACCCAGCCACCAGAUGUUGUAGGUACGCAUCCUCGGACGCCAUCACAACAAUAAUGCACCAAUGAAACACUAAAAAAAUCCCAUAAUUUUAUCAUCAGACAGCAAGUACAUACAAGAAAACACCAAUGUCUCCCCUAUUUAAAAAUUUUGCUGAAAAGCAAAGAUUUUUGCUGGGUUGAGUGCUCAUCAUUCACUUAUGCUUGUAAAACCAACAAAAGGAUAAUUUUGCAUUCUCCAUAAUUAUACUUAAUGCCAAUAUUCAUAGCUAAUAUACUAAGUUACCACUAAUUGAUUGUUCAAAGCAUCAAUAUCCCAAUAUGAAUCUGAAUUAAUAGACGGUUCCCAAAACUCAGUACCUACAGCAUCUGUGAGUCCACAACACUCUCAAAUGUGUAUAUUUUUCAACAUAUCCAGGCAAACCCAAAAUUCGAAACUAAAUUUGUACCGAAAAACAUUCAAAAGUUAAUUACAUUCACAAAUUCAACCAAAAUCAGCAAAUAUCGAGUACUACCUCAGAUGGAAUCCUGUUUUCGAUACUGUUCUGCUGGUUUAUGAACCCUUUAAUGGCUACACAGAUGCCAUCCACAGUCUCCAGAGUCCAGAGUGAAAAUAUCGAACCUUUUACUUAUUGGUGCAGACGAAAACUCUCUCCAGUCUUCGUGCCUGAAAUUCAGCAUAACAAUUUACAAUUAAUUCCUUCAAAAACAGAAUUAUAAAAAUAAGAGCUCAAAAUAAUCAAAUUCCAAAAAUUAACAAUUACAUUGAAAAACUUGAACCCUCACUCAGUCAGUCCUUGGUUGAUACCCAAAAAAUCAGAAGAAAGAAGACCCAAAAAAUAAUAAAAAAUAAACAAUUUUAAAUUCAAAUCCACCCAAAAUACUUAACUUGGGCAUUAUCUCGGAUCCAAAACUUCCUAAAUAAAAACGUAACUUUUUAAAUAACAAAACAACAAAAACUCUGCUUGCUUGAUUUCGCAUGCUGCAAUCUCCUGCCCAGCCAGAAACAAAGGAACUAAAUUCCAAUUCAGUAGCAAGUGGUUCGCAGCGCAAGCUGAGUUAAUCAUUACACACGGCUGUUAAUCAUUGUUUCAUCAUUCAGCAUUACACAUGGUUGACAAGCAGCACAAGCUCAAAAUCAAAUUCGAUGAUUUCCCACACAUAUCAGUAAUAUCAAAAACAACAUAAAAAUCAUCGAAUUCUUUCUUCCCUAAAUUUUUCCAAAAUGAAAACGAAAACAAUAUUUGGAACAUAAGAUUUGGAAUAAACGUCUAGAACCCAAAUCCCUAAAUCAAGAAAACCUUAAUCUAUGAUUAUACUUAAUGCCAAUAUUCAUAGCUAAAAUACUAAGUUACCACUAAUUGAUUGUUCAAAGAAUCAAUAUCCCAAUAUGAAUCUGAAUUAACAGACGGUACCCAAAACUCAGUACCUACAGCAUUUGUGAGUCCCCCACACUCUCAAAUGCAUACAUUUUUCAACAUAUCCAGGCAAACCCAAAAUUUGAAACUAAAUUUGUACCGAAAAACAUUCAAAAGUCAAUUACAUUCACAAUGUAAACCGAAAUCAGUAAAGAAGAGCAAUAUUAGCAAAUAUCGAGUACUACCUCGGAUGGAAUCCCGUUUUCGAUAGUGUUCUGCUCGUUUAUGAACCCUUUAAUGGCUACACAGAUGCCAUCCACAGUCUCCAGAGUCCAGAGUGAAAAUAUCGAAUCUUUUACUUAUUGGUGCAGACGAAAACUCUCUCCAGGCUUCGUGCCUGAAAUUCAACAUAACAAUUUACAAUUAAUUCCUUCAAAAACAGAAUUAUAAAAAUAAGAGCUCAAAAUAAUCAAAUUACAAAAAUUAACAAUUACGUCGAAAAACUUGAACCAUCCCUCAGUCAGUCCUUGGUUGAUACCCAAAAAAUCAGAAGCAAAAAGACCCCCAAAAAAAAAAAAAAUACACGUUCCUAAAUUUCUGUUGGGGUUUUAUAAAAAAUUUGGGAAUCAAAAUCAAAUUCCAAGAUAAUCAGAGCAUACAACUUUAAUAGCAUAAAAAGUUAUGGAAAUUAACCUACUUCAAUUCCAAUAUAAUCCAGAAUACCAAACUCGCUUACCUUCAGUCAAGCGGGUUUUGGAAAACGUUGCGGAGACCGGUGGUGCAGGAAGAUUCACACGUGUGUUGUGGCGCCCUUCGUCGGAUUUGGGUGAAGCGGUGGUAGUAGUGGCGGUGGUCUGCGUGAACUGGUGAAGAAGCAAGCGGUGGUUUUGUCGUUCGGGGUGUUUGAAAGCGUUAAAAAGAGUUGAAAGAGGAAGUUCGCCGGGUGAUGGCGAGGUGGGCGAGGUCGACGGUGGGAAGAAACGGCGUCGUGGUUUGGCGAAGGAGGAGAGAGAGGACUUUUAGAGAGAGAAGGCAGAAUCUUUUAGAGAGAGAAUGACAGAAGCAGAGAGGAUUGAGCGAGAGGGUAGUGAAAGUAGGGAAAGGAAGGCAAGAAAAUAAGGAAAUCCGAGGGAUAAAAAGCAGAAUUAGACUAAAUAUGUGAGGGUAAAAUCGGACGAAAAUAUUAAAUUAAAUUCUGUGAAUUCUCUCCUUUAUUUCAAUUUCUCAAUAAAACUUUUAUAUUAUUUGUAGAUUAGCCUCUUGCUACACGCAUACGCUUGUGACAAUUGGCCUUUUUAUAUUUAUUUAUUUAAAUAAUUAAUUUAAAUCUUUUAAAUUUUUUUUUUUAAGAAAUGAAUUAAUGACGUGAAACCACCCACUAAUGUGGGAGGUUUUGUUUUUGUUUUUUUUUUUUCAAUAAUUUUAAAUAUUAAAUUAAUUCAAAAUAAAAAUAUGGUUAAAUACUUUUAACUUCUUUUGGUUCAAUUGUAAUUUAUGAAAUUCUUAAAAGACAAUUUAUGGUAUUUUGAAUGUUUCACCAUUUUAGGGUGCUCACUUUAUAUAUAAAGAUGAUAUGUAGCACAUGUGUGAUCAUGUAAAUUUAUAGAUUAAUUUAUUGAUCUUCUAAUACCUCCUCAUAUUGUAGAAAUAAAUAACAAACAGCUAAGUAGCAUUAUAGUUAGAAUUACUCAUUGCAAGCGACAUGUGUGCCUUCUUGAAAAUGGGUUCAAAUCUUGUGGCACGAUGUAUAGCAAGAUGUGGUGGCAUUUGUUCAUUUGAGCAGCUUAAUUUGAUUGGAGCUGUUUAGUUUAUGAACGGAUUUUUGAGGUAGGUGUUCCAAUCACCCUAUUCUGGCUCUAGAAAUCCAUGAUCCUACAAUUUCUCCAAAUAAUGUAUCUGAAAGGGUGUUUCGUUUGAGGAUGGAUAGUUGUCCAAAGAACAUUCAAAUGAGUAAUAUAGAAAAAAUUUGUCAAGUGUUGUCCAUAUAACAUGUCGAGAUAUAUCUAGCAUGCAUUACAUCAAACAUUUAGUAGGCACAAAAAAAAAAACAUGUACCAAACAUUCGGAAGAUCCUUGAAAGACCUUCACAUGUAUAUUUUCCGAACUCGGUUGGUCCUGGGACCCAUUUGGUCCCUAUUUCCAUCCGCCCCUGGAGAGGUCCCCUAUAAAUAUCUCAGAUUUUGCCUUUGUUUUCGUCUUUCUUUCAAAAACUUCUAAACCUUCCUUCAAGCUUUCGACUUCCUGAUCUUCUUCUUCUUCAUGUUUUCAACCAAGGAAUGGCCUCUUCCAGCAUUCUAUUGUUAACUCCUUGGUGAUGUGAAGGAAUUGUAACACCUUCAUCCACCAUUGCUAAAAUCUUUUGACUGAUUGCAAGGUCCAGGUGGAAGUAAAUCUUCCUUGGUGCCAUUGCCAGGGUAGAUAUUUGAUCAAGAGUAUCCAUGUACCAAAAUUCACCUUUGGUACUUGGACUUUCAUGAUAUCUCUUUGCUAACUCCUUGGUGAGGUGAAGGAGCUGUAGAAGUAUUGAGUCACGGUCCCACACACCUUGAGUCACCUCAUUCCAAAACUCCCUCAAACAAAUCCUCAUUCUUCUUAUCGUCCUUCUCUUUGGGAAAGGAAACCUCGCAAAAUUUAGACACUUAUUUUGCAAUAAAAAUUUGGCGUUUUCUUAAUUUGCAUGUUUUUUACGAUAGGUUUCACAUGCACUACCAUUUAAUACGUGGUUUGCAGUUCAACUCUCUUAUUUCCAGACUAAGGGUGUAAAAUUCUGAAUUCCGUAAACGAGCAAUAAAUUAUUGAAGGUCGCAAUUCCUUAUGGUCUGCAUUCGUAAUCAGAAACCAAAAUCAGAAUGUUGAUCGAUGUUAGACAAAUAAGAACACAUGGCUAUGUAGCAUGCAUUAUGCUUUUAAAAAACCAUGUUGAAACAGCAAGCAACAAAAGUGCCUGCCUGCCUGCCUUGUUGAAUAGUAAAAUAAAAACUAUAAACUGGUUCGGUCAAUCGUUCUAAAGAAUUAAAGCAAUGAAUAAUGAAGUAUGUGUAAUUGGCGUAGUAUGCUUGCACGCUACCAAAAAAGGCUUGGUCAGAAUGUCUCCACUUGUGAACCUGUCAAACUUCAACAUUUCCAAAACAGGAGCAAACAAACACUCCCAAUCUAGAAUAGGACUGUACAACAACCACAAACAAACAUAAUUUGCCAAAACGGAACUCUCUUCAAUUGACCCUGCCAAAUAGGAAACACUUGUUUCUUUUUCUUUUCCUUUUAGUUUGGUUGUCUAUGAACUCUCUUUUGUUGGCCCUGCCGCUUUUGUCUUUGUUGUUUGGUUGUCUGUAAAUGUCGACAAUGAUGCAGUCAAGCAAAGUUUCAAGAAAGCCAAAGUUCGCAGGGAUAAAAGGAAAUAUUAGGUGACAUAAAGCCAUCAAUGAAAAUGGAACACAAGAAAUAUCUAAUGCCACUAAUCAAAUUGGUACACAAAAAAUAUUAAAUGAUAUAGAGAAGCGAGUAUAACUUAACCAAAGAGGCAUACCACAACUACAACAAAUAUGAACACUGCACACAAUAAAUUAUCUGUGCCCUUUGAGGUCAAAGUGCACCAACAUACGUGCCCAUAGACCAAUAGCAACAAUGCAGCAACUAAGUUUCUAUAUGUGCCCUCUAUGGGCGUCACCUUUGCUAAAAGGGCACAAUAAACUAUUUGGUGCUCAAAGAGGCAAGCACAAAUAAAGGCCUUUUUGUGUCUAUGUUCUGACAAACUUGUCAGAUGACCUUCUCCAUCCAUGUUUGCACUAUUUUUGUUAUUGUGCCCAGUACGUUCUAUUUAAAAAAAAAAAUAGACAUGUAAAAUUUUGAAAUAAAACCAAAAAUUUAAAAUUUUCAUAAGAUCAAAGAUGGUAGUCUCGGCUAUAAAAAGCAAUCUAAUAGUAGAAAUGGAAUGUCUAUAAUGAAACUACAUAAAUAUUCCUCAUAAACAUCAUGUUUACAAGUGUUCAAGAUAAAAGAUCAACAAAAUAAUGAGAUUUUCCUAUCAAUGUAUCCAUGCAUUCCUACAUAUAGCCACUCAUAACUGAUUUUACCCUUUUUCCUAGCUCAGUGGAUUAUGCAAUUACCUUCCUGAAAUCCAAACCAAAGGAAAAAUGAAAAAGGGAAAGGAUCACAUAUUUCCAGUGAGGUUGAACUACCCAAACAUCCAAUCAACAUUGAGAAUUCAUAGUAUCCUGAAAAUCGAUUUAAAAUAACCAAGUGUGAUCAAAGCUCGUAACACCAGCAUGCUUAUGUUUUCAAUCGCAUUCUAACUGCCGCUUGAAAUAUUUCAUGAUUAACAUAUUGAAAUCUAGUAGCUUGUUGUUACCAAUGCGUAGAAAGGGUAGCUCACCUUAAGUUCGACUCCGGACUCUAGACGUGAGCGCACACCCACAACGGAGUGUUGAACGCUACAUUCUCGCAAGAAGCAACCAUGAGAAAUAAUUGCAUCCAUAAUUUGCAAAAUUCAUUUGGCCAUGAGAUCAGAAAAUUACAGCCAAUGUCACACAGUAAUUUAAGCUUGCAAUCAUACCCUGCAUUUUUCAACUUUUGUAGGUGGCAAGUAUCUAGGAAAGGUGUAGAAAGGUGUCUUUGGAUCGUUGAAUUCAAACUUCGGAGGCUGCAUGAAAGAAAGAAUGUAAUCAAUAACUGUUACCACAUAUGCACGUAAAGAAAAAAAAAUCUAAUCGAAUAGCAGGAACGAUUCAGUGCAACUAUUACCAACCUGUUUUGUGAGGGCUGAGUUUGCAUCGAAGAAAGACUUUACAGUUCCAAUAUCCUCCCAGUAGUCAUUGAAUAGAUAUGCCUGAUCAUGUAAGGGCGUUCCGUAACUUAGUGACUCAAUUAUCAAAUCCAAACCAGCCUUGGGGGAAUUGCUUAUAUAUUUAUAUUCGAAGAUGAACUAUAAGAAAAACAAUAACUAUUAUCGAAAGAGCUAUCUCACCUGGACGUUGUGCUCCUUCACAGCUGAUGGAAUAAUCUCGAAGCCAAAAUCAUUGCAAGAAGGAUAGCUCCACCUUAAUAGCUUAAGUAGGACAUCAGUUCUGAACACAUACACACCCAUCGAUGCAAAUUUGUAGUCCUAAAUCACAGUCAAUUAGUAACGCACAUGAAAAUUUAGGGCAUACAGAUAAUCAAGUUUGGGAGGAAUCACGUGAGUCAUAAAAUUGAAAUACACUGAUGUUUUUUUUUUAAUUAUUUAGUGCAGGGAGCCGGUUUUAUACCUACAACACAAUCCCAAUCUCAUAAACAUAUAUUGUAAUAUUACCCACUUAGCUAACAUAUACUACAAUAUUCGUUCAUCAGAUACACACUGAUUAUAUAGUUAUCAGAAGCCAAAACGGAUAUAGUUGAAUUCAAAACACAAUCAGUCCAAAAUUACACCUAAAUAGAGUUAAUUAAAAUCAAUACCUACAAAUUCCAGAUCAGCCAUAUCAAAGAUUCAUAUUCCUCACUCCGGGUUGUAAAAUUAACUUUUAGGUAUGAGAUAACACAUUAGUUCAGUUCAUGACCUGAAUCAAUGAAAUAUGUAAGUAUGCAUAUUAUUUAGGGUCAAAGUGAGUUGCUUACUUUAAUCACAUACCUAGUAUGCAUCAUCAAUAUACAUGCAAAUGGAAAGAAGAAAAUGAGUCUAAUUGUUGGAAAAUUUUGAGAAAUAGAGUAUUCACAAAUGUGCAACUAAACAUGGCAUUGACCUGCACAUGAAAUCUCACUAAAAGUCAACUGAUUAUUUCUAGUCAGGUUGUUUUUGUUUGUCCAUGGUUCAUCACUUUUAGCUUCCUAGAGAUUUGGAAAGGAUCAUCAGUUCAUCUAGACUAUAAACCAAUAGACUUUUGAAUAUAUAUCAAGAAUAAUGUCCCAGUAUGCCUAAGUCCCAGUCUAAGCCAAAACUUCUUCUAAGAACAAAAUUCUGGUAUAUUUGACAUAUAACAGCAAGCCAGCUUCAAAAAAGUUAAACUGUAAUAGGCAUCGCAGUAAAAAUGGGUCUGUUUGAAUCUGGACCAGAUCAAAUCCCUUUUUUAUUAUAACCCAAAAGAGAAAAAAGCUCAGUUCCCUUGUGUUUCAAGCGAACCCUAACCCUAAAAUUAAUCACAAAUUAUUAACUAAAUUAACCAAUACAAGUUCUAAAGUAUUACCAUUUUACCUGGAACAAAGUGGAGAGGAAGGAAUCGCAUUAUGCAGGCACUGAAUUAAAGGGGAACUGGGGAUGAGAUGAGAGUUGAGGCCGACUGAUUUGCAGAUUCUGUGUGAAGGAGAAGGAUUUGCAGAGUCUGUGAGAAUGUGUGAACUUGACUGAAGACUUGAGUUGAGACCCACCUAUUCGCAAUGUGUGAAAUUUGAAGGGGAAGGAUUUGCAAAUUCUGUUUCUGCGUGACUUGAGAAUUGAGAUGAGAGGUGAGAGAGACAGAGAGAGAGGGAAAUAGCAAAAUUUGGGGAAAUAUAGAGAGAGAGCCUAGGGUUGAAGAAAGGCUCGGUUCGAUUGGGAAAGGGAGAGCCAGAGAGAGAGGAGAGGCGGAGCAAUUGAGGGGAGGCUAGGUUUGAAACUUUGAAUGGGGAAACACAGAGAUGCGGAAUGAAGGAAAUGAGGAGAGACUGAUGCGUGAAGAUUGAGGGAAGUGUUUUGUUUAAAACAUUAUUUUAAACAAAGGGCACAAAAAAUCUACCUUUACUUUAAAUAUAUUAAAUUGUAGGACACAAUUACAAUUACAAUGUCAUUGCAAAUUAAUAAAAAAUUUCCAUUACUGACAUUAAAACCACCAAAGAAGAACCAAAAAAAAAAAACAUAUAUAAAAUUCAAAUACCUCAAGAAAGCCACACUAGAUGUGCAAUUUGGAGCAAAAUGAGGAGUUGAGUAGGAACUAGGCACCGCUCAUUCAAAAUUUGUGUUUGUAGUUAUGAUUCCUCUGUCCAGAUGUGCAAGCUUGGAUUAGAACUUUUCAUUGUGGGUGAAGGGGAAGUAUGUAAGCAUUUUUUAAAUUUGUUUUCUUGUUUCUUUAUGGGUGAAGCAACAUUCUAAUUUUCCAUAGACAAAUUAGUAAAGGAGUGUGGACGUUCUAUACUAGAAUAAGGGCACAAAUCCAUAAUUGUGCCAACAUAUUCUUUUGCUAUAGAGUGAUUUAUUAUUUAUUAAUAUUUACUGGACACAAUUUCGAACAUUUGUGUCAUAAAAAAUAAUUUUUAAUUAAUAAGAUAUAUUGUCUAUCUGAAGAUCCAAUGGGGACGUACAAUGAUUUAUUAUUUAUUAAUAUUUACUGGACACAAUUUCUAAGAUUUGUGUCAAAAAAAAGAAAUUUAUAAUUAUUAACUCAUUUGUAUAUCUGAAGACCGAUUAACUUUUGCGCGGAGACCGAUGACCCUAAGGGCACAAUUGUUGGUUAUGUGUCACUACAGAAAGGGCUUUUAAUACAGUAAAAAAAAUAAAAACUUACGAUAAUGUCAAAAACCAUAUCACCAAGUAUCAAAACAAACCUGCUAACAAUCUAAAAAGCAGUUAAAAAAGAUACGAAUCUAACAAACAUUCAUUGCAUAUGGAAAUGAUCCAUUGUAAAUCUAAAGCACGCCACUUAGUACCACGGUGCAGUGGUAUUCUUAUUUACUUGUAAGUGACAAAUCUAAGGUUUGGUUGUCGCCAAAAAUGACUUUGAACAACAGUAUUGCUAACAUAUUUUGAGGCUAUAACACUGCACAGUAAUAAACAGCUCCAUACCAUUAUUUACCAUAAUUUUAUAAAUUUAAUUUUUGGUCUACUAGAGGUCAAGAGAAACAAAAAAACACAUAAAGUGUCGCUGACAAACAAUUUUUAUAGACACAAAAAGUUUUUUGUGCCCAUCUUUAGUAAAAAAGUUGUCAUCUAACCCCAUUGGGCACAGUUUUCGUGCCCAUUACUGUUUUAUGUCUUUUUUUUUUUAACAUUGGGCACAAUAGAUGGUGCCCUCUAUGGAAUGAUAACUGUUUAAGCUUUUGGUGGUCAAACAGGCACAACCUUCUCAAUUGUGCCCUUUGUUUUGUACCCAAAGCUCAUAUUUGUUGUAGUGCACGCAGGCAUCAGAUUCAGUAACUUUCAUUUGUUUGUGCCGUUCACUUCUAGAUAAAGCUUGGACAUGCCUCUUGUUGAGUGAGAUAUUUGAUGGUUCUUCAACAUUAGUAUACCUGAAUACGAACAUAAAAACUGUAACAGCUCAUACAAAAAAAUGAAAUAUAAUAAUGAGAUUUUCUUGGCUUGGGGGUGUGAGAAUUCUACUUGAUUCCCAUAGAAGGUGAGGCUUUUCUUAGCAUGUAAGAUGUAUCACGACAAUCUUCUUCUCCUGACUUGGCUGUUAAAACCUACGAAUUUAACAAAUAAAGCAUGUGAGAUCAAUUGAAAGCAUUUCAUGUUUUUGAGUGAUUCUAAAGCAAAAGUCAUAAAAAAGGAAACUUUAACGAAAAGCUCCUGUUACUGUUCACUUUAACGAAAAACCACAUUUUUACACUAAAAAGUCAAUCCUGGUACUAUUCAUUUUACCCUUUAUUUUGUCCUUAUCGUUAAAACUCAAAGUUUUCAAGCCCUUAUCGUUAAAAAAAAAAUUUACCUUUAGCGGUACUUGAGUUUUCUCUGACCUUUCAGCAAGUCGGGGGCUACGUCGUAGGAUCAGGCGGGGUUGGCGGUCGUUGAUCUGGUGCGGUGGGGAGGUUAGUGGAGGGAGAGGCGGAGGGGGACCUGCAGAUGAAUCUGGAGGAUGGUUGUUGGGAGGCUGCGGGUGGGUCACUGCCACACGCUCUUUAUCUCUCAAACUAAACCUAGUAGGAGUCCCAAAAUAUCAACAGCCCAUCCGUUCAAAACGCUAAGUAUUUCUACUGACAACCUAUCACUAGCUAUUGGUACAUCCAUAAAUAGUGUGUAUCUACGUCGGAGGGCCAGGCAGGGUUGGCGGCCGUUCGUCUGGAUAGGUGGGGAGGGAGCCAGGGUGGGGUGGUGGGGCUGGUGCGGUGGGAAGGGUGGUGGAGGGGGACCUGUAGAUGAAUCGGGUGGAUGGUUGUUGGGAGACUGUGGGUGGGUCUCCGCCGCACGCUCUUUAUCUCUCAAAGUAAACCUAGCGGGAGUCCCAAAGUAUUCAACAGCCCAUUCGUUCAAACUGCUAAAUAUUUCGACAGACAACCUAUCACUAGUCCAUAAAUAAUGUGUAUCUAAUUGUUGACUCAGCUGGGUACAGAGGAUAUGGAUACAUUCCCAUAGCCAUUGAUCCUAUAUCUAUAUCUCUAUAAUCUUUAAUUCCCGGAAUUUCUCUUAAUUCUAUAUGACGCAUAAUAUGAUAACCAUGUGUUACCAUUACUAAUUGGUUCAGGUCUUCUCCCGUUUCAGCACUAAUUUUUUUAGCCAAAUUUAAUCCUGAGUCUGCCGGAUGAACAAUGACGCUCAUAUUCAAACUUGGCACCGAAACUAAAAAUGAAUUCCUGUAAAAUAUUAUAUGAUAUUAAACAAAUAAAUCUCAUAACUCAACAUUUAUGUGCAAUUCUAAAGAGUUCAAUUAUUGUGGUACAAUUCUAAAGACUUACAUUAUUGUUGAUCCAUUUUGUAGGGGAGUUAACAGAUCGUACACCUGAGUUGGGACUUGGUGCCUUAACAAAACAAAAAUAAAAAUACAUUAUUAAUCAUGUAUUUCAUAUUACAGAACAAACUUUUGAUGAGACAAAGACAAAAAACAUACCCAGUCACCAGAUGUUGUAGGUAUGCAUCCUCAGACGCCAUCGCAACAAUAAUGCAACAAUGAAAACACUAAAAAAAUCCCAAAAAUUUAUCAUCAGACGGUAAAUACAUAUAAGAAAACACCAAUAUCUGCCCUAUGUUAAAGUUUUCUCUCAUUAAACCCCAUGCCUACUCGGAUUUCUUUCAUGGACAGAAAAUUAAAGAUAUGUCGUCGAUUCUUAUAUGGAAUACCUUUGCAACUCAAGUGUCGAUAUGUAAAGGCAGCUGUCUAGGAUGCCGAUGGUGAGGUCUGGCCUUUUUUUAGGGAAUAUCGAGUAGUAGAAACGGAUUAUGGCUAGGGUUUCAAUGACAAGAGAAUCAGAAAACGAAGAAAACUGAGAGACUAGCGAGAGAGGUUGCUAGCACUUAAUGCGGGUUGUUUUAUCCCUAAACCCUAGGGUUAAAUAUUCACAAUUCUGAUGACAUGGCACGAACAUGACUAUUUCCUGUGUUAUUGUCCACUAGAAUUUGGCCACACACUGCGCGUGCGUGUUUGAGCCUUGAGGGAAAGGAUUCAGAGGAACCGAAGGGUAGUUUAGGCCCUAAAAAAAAUUAGUGAAGCCCUAUUAUAAAUAGUAAAUAAUUUUGUUCUCCUUUCAGUCAUUUAUUAUUUUGUGAAUUCUCUCUUUUAUUUUCAAUUUCUCAAUAAAACUCUUAAAUUGUUGUAAUUAAUACUAAGCACAUGUGUGGUUGUGGAAAUCCUAGAUAGAUUGGGUUUAUGAUUAUCUUUACUCUAGGAGAUUAUUUUCUAUUAGACUAUGUAUUACUUGGGAAGUAAGUUUCUCUUUUCUCAUGGCUAAAAAUACAUCCAACAAUUUUCUUAAGCAUCAUUGGUUCUCUCAGUUGCCGGAUCCUCCCUCUUCCCUUUAGUAAAUUGGCCACAAAAUAUAUAUAGUCUUUUGUCUAAUUUUAAAUAUAUAAGGUAUUUUGUCUUUUUUUACUUUCUUUGUUUAUGUGAAGGGUAUUUUUAGAAGUUAAUUAUUUGCCGUUUAUUUUAAGCUUUUUGAUCAUUUAUCCAAAACAAUAAACAAAGAAAAUUAACUUGCAGAAUUCAAAAGUUGGUCGAACAAAGGAGAGGACAACAUCUUGGAGAGAGCUGUAUCUCUGCAUUGCAGCUUUGAACUCAUCAAAGGUAACUUUUUCAUCGCUGUUUGCAUCAUCCGGUCCAAUAUUUCAUCCAACUUCCCAGAUUCAGUGGUAUCAGUUGGAAGGCUAUUGUGGAGCCUAAAAUAAUCCCAAAAAUUUUAGAGGCAACACGUAGACUUUUAUUCAAGAAGAACAAGAUUGCCCUCAAUAAAUGGGCAGACUUCUCAGAUUCUCCCACGUGCAGCUCACCUCCCUAAAGGACCCAGCAGCUGAACACAACUGUCCACAACUCACCUGCCCAUGGCAAGGAAUUAAAGAUAAGGAUUAAUUACCCAAAUCCUAUCUUUAAUACAUUUCUAAUUAAAGAUUGACUCCAAUCAAGUAAGUAAUCUUAAUUUAAAUUAAUUAAGGAUUAUUACCCUAUUAUCUCAAGAUAUUAUCUCCUAUUAAAUAUCUUGGGAAUAUUUAGAGAAUAUUUAUCCAUUAAACCUUAUAUGGCCGGCCCUAGCCCUAUAAUACCCCAUAUUCUACCAUUUUUGGGGGGCUUUUGCAACCCUAAAAAGCCAAAACACUUUACUCUCUCAAAGAAACUAACUUAGGCAUCGGAUAUCCGUUGACCUAACCCCCCCACCUCAUGGGCGUGUGAGGCUUAGGUCUCUGAUCAAAGGUGUUGAUUGUUUUGCAGGUGCUUUUUCAUCAAGACUGAAUGUGGAUGCAAAUUUCUUCCUCCUUGAUGACAAAAUUGCACCUACAAAACAAAUAACACCUUAGGUCAAGGCCAAGAGCCUCACGUGCCCACGAUGAAUGUGGGGGGGGGGGGCUUUGGCCGAAGAACCUCCAAUGCCAAAGUUAGAAUUUAGAGAGAAAAGUGUUUGAGAGUUUUGGAAAAUUUUAGCAAGAGUGUGGACCUCCUUUUUGAGAAAAAAUAGGGUCAUAUAUAUAGAGAAUGGGGGUGGCCGGCCCUUAGAGGCUUUUUGUGUGAAAAAUGGGUGAUUUAAUUGGUGAUUUAUGGAUUAAUUAGGAAUUAAUCCAUUAAUUAGCCAAUUAAUCUCCAUUUAUAUGGAAUAAUUUGUAGGUUAUGAAGUGAUUACCUGAGAUGAGGAUGGAUGAGAUAAUUUGGAAUUGGUUACCUUUUUCGGACACUCUUGGCUUGAUUAAAGAAUGAUUGUCCACUGCUCGCAUGUAGGACAACCGGUGUGUCUCAGGGAUAACUUUGUCCUUUUUACCAAAAAUCCACGUGUUACUUGUGAUUAUUUUUGGCUCCACAAAUGCCCCCACACCUGCUGGGCUGCUCACAGGAAAUGGCAACAGGUGUAGAGAUCUUCUUGCUCUAGGAAACUUAGGACUGCUUCCUGUUUUGAUGUAGAUUCCCUCUUUAAUAUAAAAUUAGAUCCUUCUAGGAAAGAGAAAUAAAUUUCUCUCAAAGCCUAUUUAAGUCCACCUUAAGUGUGUUAUUAAAUCAACUUUGGAGAGUGAUUUAUUCUACCCUACAAGAGAGAGAGAGAGCGCUUAGAGGAUAUUUGUUCCCCCUCCUCUAGCAAUCUUCUACAUCUUGGCCGUGCAAAGGACCGUCUUUCGUUGCUUUCUUCGUCUUCUCCGCGUCGCACCGAUGUAAGGAAAACUUAAUUCUCCUUGUCUUCUUCUUGGGAGGUGCUGCCACGGGGCAGCCAUCGGGGUGGUGCGGCACGUCGGCUGGCAGGGGCCAGGAGUCGACUUGUCAUGGGCCAAAGAGAUGGUGUGGUAGGGGCCAUUGCUUGUGCUGCUCGGCUUAAUUGAAGUCAAGGAUUGGCUUGGCAUGGGCCAAGGAAGUGAAGUGGCAUGGGCAACGGAUUGGGCUGCAAUGUCUGGGUUGCUUUGCUAAAAAUGAGGAAACUGCUUGAUUUCUCAGCUGCCGUAGAUGGAGCAAUCAAGGAUAAAGCUGCCAAGAUCGGAGCUGCUAAAGAUGAAGUGUCGGAUGAGUGAACUGUUAAGUGCAAAAGUGGUUGUUGCCCCUUAACCAUUCGCUCCCUAGUUGAUAUUCGAUCUUUUAAGCUAUGUAGCCUUCUCGCACUGGAAAGCUUACCCAGAUAGGUGUUAGCGAAUUAGUUUACCCUUAUGCAUUGGAGAGCAAUUAGUUUACCCUCUCGCAUUGGAAAGCAAUUAGUUUAUCCUCUUACACUUGAGAGUAGAUCCAUAUGGGUGUCGGGGAAUUGGUUUACCCUUAUGCACUGGAGAGCAAUUAGUUUAUCCUCUCGCACCGAAGAGCAGACCCAUACUGGUUUACCUUCUCGCACUGGAGAGCAAUUAAUUUAUCCUCUCGCAUUAGAGAGCAGACCCAUACGGGUGUCGGGGAAUUGGUUUACCCUAUCGCACUGGAGAGCAAUUAGUUUAUCCUCUCGCACUGGAGAGCAAUUAGUUUACCCUCUCGCACUGGAAAGCAAACCCAUACGGGUGUCGGGGAAUUAGUUUACCCUCUCGCACUGAAGAGCAAUUAGUUUAUCCUUUCGCACUGGAGAGCAGACCCAAAAAGGGUUUUGAGCAGUUGUUGUGGAUAGCAGUUGAGCCAGGCUUAUGAGUAACUUCUUGAACCUUCAUUGAGAAUGAAGAAAUAAAUCAAUUGUGCUAGAAGGUAGAAACUGCAUAACAUACUGGAUAAUCUUAGGCUUGCGAGGCCUUGUUCGUCGAGCUGCUUAAGACUUCGAACUUAUUUGGAAAAGCCCAAACGAGGUUCAUGGGGGUGACGGAGACUUCCCCUGCUCGUUUCGUUGACUUGUCAAUAUACUUGUUGCAUCGACCCUCAUUUGUUAGCUUCUCAAAGUACUGCUUCCACUUCAUGCAGUCGUUGGUAGUGUGGCCUGGUCCUUGAUGGAAUGCGCAAUACUUCGUAUGAUCCAACCUAGUAAAAUCGCCUCUCAUGGGUGGCGGCAGUUCGAACCAAGGUUCGUUCUUGAGCUUACGGAGAAUUUGACCAAUUGGAACUGUGAACUUGGUGAAUGUUUCAGGCACCGAGUCUUCUUUGGUUAGGGAACGUUCCACAUGCUUCUUUUCUGACUCAUUUUUGUUGGACUACUUGGCCUCGUCCUAUAGCGCAUGUUUUUCUGCCAAAGCAUAUGAAGUUGCUAGGGUUAGUUCUUCUCCCAUUAUUAGUUUUCGAAUAAAGGGUGUUCGGUGGGAAGCUCAUUUCUGAAUGCUGCCGUUGUUAUGUUCUCGUUCCAACCAACAAUCUUGGCCUUCUUCGCUUUGAACCUCUUGACAUAGUCGCGAAUUGUCUCCCAAGGGUUUUUUAUAAUGCUGAAGAGAUGGCCAGAUGUCAUUUUGAUUGAGCGGUUAGAUGAAUACUCCUUAGUGAAAACAAAGGAAAGUUUGUUGAAACUCCGGAUUGACUGCGACGGUAGAGUGUGAAACGAAUCUUGAGUCUCCCCUUGUAGAGUUAUGGCAAAAAUUUUGCACAUAAGUGUGUCGUUGUUCAUAUAGAGGAUCAUGGUACCGCAGUAGUGCUUGAGAUGUCGAUUUGGAUCUUUGUCUCCCUUGUACGGAGUGAAGUGAGGCAUGGUGAACCUGAGAGGUGGAUCUGUCCGCUCGAUCUCAUUCGUAAAUGGUGACAUGCUUGUACUGGUCAUGUCUCGUCGAAGCGAAUCAUCAGCAGCCUCGUUAUGUUGGAAAUUGCGCAAUCGUUUGGUUAUAAGCCUCUCAACUUAUUCUUGAAUUUGCUUCUGAUGGAGCAAUGCAACUUUCGGCUGCCUCCGAUCAUGACCUAUGGGUUUGGGCCGCUCUCUCAUAUGCUCGACUCGUCUAUGUCGUGGCUGCAGUACAUAGGGCAUGUCUUUGGCAGGCGAACGGGCUUCUUGUAGGCUGGCGGUUGAACUUGAGUCGAAUUAAGUGACUGCUUAUCUCUGUCUGUCGUGCUGCCUACUCUGAUGUGAGGUGGAAAAUACUCCUAGUGAGCGUAGUUGUGAAUGAACACUUCGCCUGAAAGGUUGUCCAUGUUGAUAAUCUGAGUGUGACCUCAACUGUGAACUUAUGUUCGUCUGGGCUUGAUCGGGAAUGCACGCUCAUCCGUGCGUUAAGACGAGGGUAUACGCUAUCUUAAGGACCCAGACUGGAGUGUAAACAACCUGAACGCUCGGAUCUUGACUGGUUGAUGGGCUACUUGCCGGGACUCUGGUGGAGAACUUCGUUUGCCCUUGUUCUAAUUUAGAACAUCUCGUCCGAGGCACGUUGAAUCUCAGUGCGUUGCAAGAGUUGAUUCACCAAGGUUAUUUGUUGUGCAAGGACGCUCGUCAACUCUAUGACUUGUCGAGACAAGUGUUGUUCGCCGUUUAGAUUGGAAGGGCUUGGAAGGAAUGUGCCUCAUUGAGCAAUGGAAUUAUGAUGGGCUCUGGGCGCGAGAUUUGAAUUGGGAAAUGUCAAAUCCACGGAGAAACGUAGUGAAAAUGCCCCUGGUUCGAUCGUAGGCCUAUAAAUUUACAGCCGGGACGGUUGAACUAAUCUUGGACCGAUUUGGGCUGCUUGGAAUGCCACGGGAGUAGGCUGGGCCACGGAAGCAGGCUGCUUGGUGAGAGCAAGCUGGGCCAUGAGAGUAGGUUGCUCAGUGUGUGGUGUAUAUAGGUGCGAGGCUAGGGCUCGGCUUGGCAACGCGUUGGGCUUGAAACGACAUGGCUUAGGAUUGCUUUGAUGGGACGAUCGGGCUGUGGUAGUGGUGCCAUGGACCUCGCCGCAAGUGGCUACUGAGGUAGCCACCAUGGUGGUUCCCAUGGUGGUGGUGCCGCUCCACUUAUUGUCACAUUUAGCCUCGUGGAUCGCUGUGGUCCCAUAUCUUGAAUGUUGAAAUUUUCAUUUGUUGAAUUUUCUAAAUUUCUAGCCAUUGUACUUUUGUUUUACGUUUUAUCAAAGAAUUUUUGCAAAUAAAAAAAUUCUAAUAAUAAGAACGUACGAAAAAUCUACAAAUGGACAAGAAAAUAGAAAACCUUGGAUGCGAGAGUCUUCUACAAAUGUGGGACUCAACUCUCAAUGAAAACACCAAUUUGUGGAUGAAAAUUUCUUCUUCCUUGAUCUUGGAGAUAAUUGCACCUAGAAAACAAAUAACACCUUAGGUCAAGGCCAAGAGCCUCACGCGCCCACGAUGAAUUUGGGGGGUGGGGGGCUUUGGCCGAAGAACCUCCGAUGUCAAAGUUAGAAUUUAAAGAGAAAAGUGUUUGAGAGUUUUGGAGAAUUUUAGCAAGAGUGUGGACCUCAUUUUUUAGAAAAAAAAUAGGGUCAUAGGGAAUGGAGGUGGCCGGCCCUUAGAGGUUUUUUGUGUGAAAAAUGGGUGAUUUAAUUGGUGAUUAAUGGAUUAAUUAGGAUUUAAUUCAUUAAUUAGCCAAUUAAUCUCCAUUUAUAUGGAAUAAUUUGUAGGUUAUGAAGUAAUUGCCUAAGAUGAGGAUGGAUGAGAUAAUUUGGAAUUGGUUAUCUUUUUUUGGACACUCUUGGCUUGAUUAAAGAAUGAUUGUCCACUGCUCGCGCGUAGGACAACCGAUGUGUCUCAGGGGUAACUUUGUCAUUUUCACCAAAAAUCCACAUGUUGCCUUGUGAUUAUUUUUGGCUGCACACUGAAGACGGUGGAAAUUUGCAUCGACAAAUUGGUGCUUUCAUUGAGAGCUAAUUCAAAAUACUUGAAGAAGCCUCUCGCAUUAGUUUGUUGAAUUUUCUAUUACGCUGAAUUUCUCACACGUCGUAUCAAUUAAUUUUUCCUAGAAAAAAUUAUUGAUCAAUCCCUGGAGAAAGGAUACAAUGGUAGGAAAUUCAAAAACUACGAUGAAUGGAACCCUAUACGUGCAAGGAUUUGGACCGGAGAGUCGAGAUGAGGAUAUAACCCCACAACGGAGAUCCUCGAGGCUCAACGCGACGGUAGGAGGAGCCCCACUGAUGCGAAGCCACGCCACCACCAUCAUCACCGUGACCCAGCAGCCAUGGCAAAGCCACUAAGCCACGACACCACUUCCACCAAACCCUAGGCAUGAGGCCUAGGUCCACUUCGAAGCCCUUGGGUAAGAGGCCCCGAACUUGGCAACUGCCAUAGCAAGCCCUGGGCAGGAGGCCCCGCCUAAUGCAACAGUAGGCUUUGUUGCACAGCAGGUCCGAACUCGGGCCCAGAAUUCGGUAGUUGCUGCCAGCCAAGCAGCUCAGUGGGCCCAAGCCCAAGCCACUCAGCUAGAGGGCCAAGAUGUGGCAGCCCAACGGCUAGGAGGGUCCACGGCCAUGCAAGUUCAAGGCAAGCAGGCACAGGUCUGACGCGCCCCGCGGUUUUUUCCAACGACCCAACCUGCAGCCUAAUCUAAUCCAUGGCCACCUUCAACAAUCCAGAUUUCGACCACCGGACCCGUAAUCGAUUCAGGGUUACUUACGCCCUACUUUUCUGCAGGAUUACUCACUCUAGGCUUAAGCUUUCUACCUACAGUCCACUAUACUUCCACCACGCAUGGAGACGCCUAUCAUCCAAGCUCUUCCAAUCCAAAUGGCAAGCACCACCUGCCCCUACAGGUUGCCAAUUUGAUGAACGCCCUUGCGCAGCAGACCACCUUGGCGAACCAACUCCUCAAGCGAAUUAAGAUGUAGCGCACCCCAGAUGAGGUGUCCCGAAGCAGGAUAAUGACGGAAGAACGUGACUCGUUCCAGCGAUGUCCCGGUAAAGAGCCGCUCAGUCCGUCACGAACCAUGCGUUUGGGUAGUGUGCACUCUUGUUUGGGCCUUAGGGGAAACGUUUUCUCCUGCCCAAAUGCAUAAAGAAGCGUUUAUUCCUUACUUGGCACACGAGUCAGUAUGCAUUCGAGGUUAAGUCCACAUUCCAAUGAGCACUCAAGACAUUCCAGGCAAAACGUCCGCACGAGGCUAGGCCUAUAAGAAGAUCCUCCUACGAGGCAACAUAGUAGGUAGCCACAUAAUGCAUAGAGAAGGGCAUGUGAACAGUCUAACUCAAGUUCCACUGGCAGCCCUCGCCCAGUGCAACGGCGAGCAGCAUAACAUGGACUACGUGCACAGUGACCGCGACACAGAAGAACAGGACAUGCUGAAGAGCAACAUAGACCAGCAGGUCAACACCGGGGGCAGCCGGAGGCUCCGCUGCCUCACCAAGUGCAAAUCCAAGAAGAAGUACAAAGGCUCGUAGCAGAACAACUGCGCGAAUUCCAGUGCAUUGACACUACCAAGAUGCCCUUUGUAGAAACAUGGCCAACCUGAGUAGGUCACCAUUUACAAACGAGAUUGAGCGGACAGAACCACAGCGGAAGUUCAACCUGCCACAUUUCACCUUAUUUAGGGGAGAUGAAGAUCCGAACAUACAUUUGAUGCACUACCGAAGUGCCAUGACCUUCUACGCCACCAAUGACGCUCUCAUGUGUAAAAAAUUUCCCACGACACUACAAGGCGAAUAACAAGACUGGUUCCACACUCUAUCGCCAAGUUCGAUUCGGAACUUCGACAAACAUUCCUUGGUUUUCACUAAGGAAUAUUUUCCUUACCGCUCAAUCAAGAAGAAAUCUGACCACCUUUUUAGCAUGAGGAAUGACCUGAAUGAGUCACUUCGCACUUAUGUCAAGAGAUUCAAGGCGGAAAAGGCAAAGAUCUUCAUAUGCAAUGAUAGCAUCACAUGCUCAACUUUCCGAAAAAGACUCCGAGCACAUCACUUGGUUUUUGGGGAAUUGAUUAUGGGUGAAAACCUGUCACUAGCAAACUCUUAUGCUUUGGUAGAAAAGCAUUCCCUCUGGGAUGAGGAAAAGCGCUCCCAGAAGCCGCCUGAGUAGCCACGUAAAGCCGCGAAACCAACUUAGAAGAAGGCGAGUGAUAAACCGCUCAACAUCAAUAACAAGCUAGGAGACAAACGUAAGGACCGGUCCCCAACGAAGGGAGGCACGGCGCCCAAGACAUACAUCAGGUUCUCAGUCCCGAUCAACCAAAUACUUCGCGACCUCAAGGACAAGCCAUGGUUCAAGUCGCCACCACCUUUAAAGGGCAACACCUCGAAGAUGGACCAAACCAAAUACUGUGCAUUCCACAAGGGUCUUAGGCACAUAACCAAUGAUUGCACCACAUGGAGAAGGUAUCUCGAGCAACUCGUGAAGGAAGGCAAGUGCGACCAAUAUGUCGACAGACCAGUUGCCUGGCCAAGGCAAGAAGCAGAUGUUGAUGCCGAACCCCCAACCAAGACAAUUCGAAUCAACAGAAUCUUUGUUGAAUCCGAGCAUCUGGGGCCACCAAUAACUCCAAGAAGAGGAAAAUCCAGCAGGUAAGAUCGGUCAAUUAAUUUCAAGCUGUAGAUGCUGUAUCUAGACCAAUUGUCGACUUUACCGAGCAUGACGCUGAGGGAGUAGACUUUCCCCACGACGACGCCCUGGUGAUUUCUGUACAAUUGGCCCAUUCCAUAGUUGACAGAGUCAUGGUGGACAACGGCAGCUCAAUCAACCUUCUACAACUGUUGAUCAUUCAAAAGAUGAGCCUGGAAAGUACAAUCCAACGCAAAGCAAAGGUCUUGACCGGAUUCAACGAACUUACCUCAACCGCUAUUGGCACUAUCACACUUGACGUAACCAGCCCACCAAUUGUCACAUCGCAGACCUUCAUGAUCGUUAGCGACCCAUCUCUCCAUAAUGGGAUAUUGAGUCGUCCUUGCCUGGUGAAAAUUGGAGCUGUGACAUCGACCAAGUAUCAGAAAAUCUAAUUCCGCAUCCCGGGAGGAGCAGUCAGAGAGAUCAAAGGCGACCAGGCCAUGUCUAGGCGAUGCACUAUACAAGUUCUCAAGGAGUCAAAGAAGAGAUCUUUCGCCCCAGCAGUAGUAGCUGAAAUGCAGAAAGAUGACUUUACCUCCUGCUAAAUAACAAUUACAGCAGGCCAGUCAAAAAGAUGGCAUUAAGGUAGACAAUGCCCUAGAAGAUGAAUCAGGAUGGAAACCUGAAAAAGAUGCCGAGAACAUUAUUGUUAACCCUCACCAGCCAGAAAAGACUGCUAGAAUAGGCUCAUGGCUGAGCCCAACGGAGAAUGAAGAACUCAUGGUUUUCCUUAGGGAAAAUCGUGACGUCUUCUCAUAGUUACCCUUUGACAUGCCCGACAUUGAUCUAGCGAUAACUUGUCACAAGCUAAACGUCAAUCCCGCUGCCAAACUUGUGAUCCAAAAAAAGUGACAUUUCAUACCAGAGUGAGUAGCGAUUAUUGAAGUGGAGAUCAACAAGCUACCGGAGGCCGGAUUCAUUGAGGAAGUGGCAUAUUCAGCAUGGCUGGCCAACGUCAUGCUAGUGAUGAAAAAAGAGAAGGGCAAAUGGAGAGUGUGUGUGGAUUACACCGACCUCAACAGGGCAUGCCCUAAAGACAACUACCCGGUUACCUAAAUCGACAUUCUCGUUAACUCAACAUUUGGGAACUAGCUGCUUAGUUUCUUAGACGCGUAUUCGGGCUACAAUCAAAUUUCCAUGCACAAUCCUGACAAAGAAGAAACUACAUUCGUGAUCGAGCAAGGCACAUAUUGCUACAAGGUCAUGCCUUUUGGCCUUAAGAACGCCAGAGCAACCUACCAACGACUUGUAAACAUGAUGUUCAAGAAGCAAAUUGGAGUCACCAUAGAAGUCUACGUCGAUGACAUCAUGGUGAAAGGCAAGCAACAGUCAGACCAUAUUCGUAACUUGGCGAAAAUUUUUACCAUUCUUCGAGAGUACAACAUGAAGCUCAACCUAGCCAAGUGCACAUUAAGCGUCUCCUCAGGUCGAUUCUUAUUGUACCUUGUAACCCAACGAAGAAUCGAGGCUUAUCCAAGGAAGAUCAAAGUGAUAUUAGACAUGAAAUCACCCAUGACUCUGAAGGAGAUCCAAAGUUUGACCGGAGGAGCUUCCGCACUCAAUCGUUUCCUUUCGCGAUCUACUAACUGAUGCAAGCCAUUCUUCAAGGCAAUAAAAAAGGUGCAGAAGGAUAAGUGGGACGAUGAGUACGAGAAAGCAUUUUAGGACCUGAAGCAGUACCUGACAUCACCUCCACUACUAUCCAAACCGGAAGCAGCGGAGAACUUAUACAUCUAUUUGGCGGUAUCGGAAGUAGCAGUGAGCUCUGCCCUCAUACGAGAAGAGACCCAACUGCCUGUAUUCUACAUAUCCAAAGCUCUCAUCGAUACCCACUACGAUCAGUUUUGCACAGUCCAAACGCUUUUCAACGAGUAAAGAAGUGGGCGUUGGAAAUUGGUCAAUACGGCCUAGCAUACUAACCCCGCAUAGCAAUAAAAGCCCAGGCAUUGGCGGACUUCAUAGCAAAAUUCACCCCAAGCCUGAAGGAUACAGCAACACAGCCUGAAAGUGCCCCGAAGGUAGCCGAGCACGCUAUAGCCAUACCUGCCCCACUUGAUGGAGAUUUUUGGCGUUUGCAAGUCGAUGGAUCAUCCAACCAUCUAGGAUCGGGGGCAUGCCUAGUUCUCACUCUGAGAUUCAAAGCAUCAAACAAUGAAGCAGAGUAUGAAGCCCUACUAGCAGGUCUUCAAUUAGCGAAAGACCUAGAGGUGAAAAAGCUCGCAAUCCAUUUCGAUUCCCAGCUGAUCAUCAACCAAACUUCAGAAGAGUACGCAGCAAAAUAUCAAAGGAUGACCUGAUACCUCGAGAAGGUACGAUAGUAGCUAGCGACAUUCCAAGCGUAAGUUCUGCAUUAAACCAUCAGCUUAGAUGCUCAAUCCCAGUGAAGUACCUAGAAAAGCCAAGCAAAUAUGAGAAACUAGCAGGCGAAGUGGCGCAGAUCAGCACGACCUCGAGUUGGCAAGAUCCCAUCAUCGACUACAUAAUCAAUAGAAUGCUCCCCGUAGACAAACUGAAGUCCAUGAAGCUCCAAAUAAAGGCAGCACGCUACUACAUGUGGAACGGCAUGCUCGUUCGAAUAUCCUUUUCAGAACCACAUUUCUACUGCUUAUUGUCUUCCGACGACCUGAAGAUUCUUAGCUCAAUCCAUAAAGGUGUAUGUGGAAACCACUCUGAGGCCGUUCUUUGGUGCAAAAAGCUCUCAAUGCUGGCUAUUAUUGGCCAACCAUGCAUCAAGACGCCAAGGAGUAUGUACAAAGGUGUAACAGUUGCCAACAUUUCAAGCCCGUGCCCGCACUACUUGCUAACGAACUCCAUUCACAGAUGAGCCCAUAGCCAUUCAUGCAAGGGGCGAUUAACUUGGUAGGACCAUUGCCACCUGCUAUUGGGGGCAGGGGCAUGAUGAUCGUAGUAGCCGACUACUUCACAAAAUGGGUCAAAGCCGAACCUAUAACCACAACUACCCAGAUAGACAUAAAGCGCUUCAUAUGGAAGAACAUCAUCUGCCAUUUCGGCAUCCCACACUCCAUCGUCACCGAUAAUGGUCCACAGUUCGUGGGCAAAGACUUGGCGAGGUUCUUCAAAAAAUAUGGCAUCAAGUAGCACACGUCUACGCCCCAAUAUCCAUAGGGUAACAGGUAGGCCGAGAUGUCCAACAAGACCAUCCUCGACUGCCUCAAGAAGACCCUCUCAGACAAGAAGGGCAAGUGGCUUAAUGAGCUCCCCGGUCUUCUGUGGGCAUACCGCACCACUAAAAGGCAAGCAACAGGCAAGACUCUAUUUUCCUUGGCGUAUGGUUCCGAGGCGAUCAUUUAUCCCAACGUCAUAGUGCCAAGCAUCAACACCAUACUGCUGAACCUCGAGCAGAAUGAAAAUGAGAUGGCCACUAACUUAGACCUGGCAGAGGAAGAGCGCGAGAAGAUCAUCACCCGCAUUGCGGCCUAUCAGCAGCAUUUCUUCUCCAGCUACAACAAAAGGGCAAAAAUCUGGCAAUUACAGCCAGGAGACUUAGUCAUCAGAAAAGCCUUCAUCACCGCCCGACAGGAAGGCUUUAAAAAGAUGGCUCCCAUCUGGGAAGGUCCGUACAAAAUCAGUCGAGUAGGCAGAAAGGGAAGCUACACCCUCACCACCAUGAACGACAAAGAAAUCAACAAGUAGUGGAAUGCCUACAACCUGAGAAAAUACUACGUGUGAUCUCUUACCAUUCUUUGGACCAUGUUCAAGACGAAAAAGUUUAAAGACUCAAGGUAGCUUGACGGACAGAGACCUCGCAUGCCAAGGAUUAUCAAUUGUUAUGACAUUAUUGCCUAUGAGCAAAGUUAAUAAAAGCCUCUAUUUUAAUUGAAGAUUGAAGGAAUUAUUCACAAGCCUGGGCCAAAUGCAUAAACCAACUGACUACCUUUUGUGAUAAGCAGAAGACACCCUCUUCCCGACGGACAUGGUGCAAGACACAUGUUGCUCUGCAGACAUGGUGUAAAACACCCUCUGCCCGACGGACAUAGUGCAAGACACCCGCUGCCCUGCAGAUAUGGCGUAAGAUGCCCUUUGCCCUGUAGACAUGGCGUAAGAUGCCCUUUGCCCUGUAGACAUGGCGUAAAAUGCCCUCUGCCCUGCAGACAUGGCAUAACCACCUCGAUAAACAGAAGACGCCCUAUGCACGUUCAGACAUGGCUUAUCCGGAAUAUCCAGAUGUGGAUGGGUAGUACGACUACUCAGUUUCUCCUGAUGUCAGCGACUACCUGAGCCAGACGACUAUUAGAAUUGGCCAAAAUAGUCCUUCCACGAGAAUAGACUUAGCCAACUGAAGGAUUCAAUUCCACGGGACCCGAGUCUUUAACCGGAAGAGAUAGUUAAGAGCAUGACCCUUGCCCAUGAAAGAUCUCGCGUGAACAAGAUGGUCCAUCCUCGAUGUGCAUAUCUUCAUGAAGUGGCUUGAUUUCAAAGUGUUGCAAUUCUAGUUAAGCGACCUAAGGGAUCAAAGCUGCGACUCGGAAGGAUAUUGUAAUAUCCCGAAAAUUUUAAGUGGGAAUUAAGAGUGAAUCACUUGUGGUCUUUGUUAGCAAAAAUUGAUUUGCCUUAUUUGAGGUUAGAUCAAUUGGCCUUUGGCCAUUAAAAGUUCUAAAAAAUAAACAAAAAAAAAAAAAGAAAAAGAAAAAGUAAAGCUGACGUUUAGGAUAAAAAAGGGGAUGGGUUCUAGAAACCCCUCAUUUAGCUCAUUUCCUUCCAGCUGAAAGAAAUGAAAGGGGUUUAUCCCCUUUAGCUCUUAUCUUGCCAAAAAGAAAAUCUAAGGAAUAAGAGUUUAGUUUCCUUGCUUGUGAAGAUUAGAACAAGUGAGGAUCUUUCCUUUGUCUCCAUUUAAGGUAUCUAUUUCUUACCUUUGGGAUCUAUAUUUGAUUUUUGGUUUGUUAACCCAUGAAUUACUUUGGGUGGGAGUAGGAAACAUGAAGGUAUCAUAGUUCAUGUUAUAGUUUUAGAGUUGAGCACCAAGUGUUUGAUUAAAGUCCCCAAUUAACCUUGAAUUAGGGUAUGUUGUUAGAUAUUUGUAUAAGUGGUGUGUGAUGAUUUUUCUUACUUAUAGAUAAGGAAGAGAAGGAGAAGGGGACUAUGGCACAAGUCAACGAACACCCUGGAAAUUGAAUGUCAAGAAAUUUAGUUUGAGGUAAGGGAGUUUUAACUAUAAAAGUAUUUUGAUUUUUCAUUUUUACUUGAUCAAGGAUUGUUGGCAUUUGAGCACUAUUCCAAGCUUAUUUGAAAUGUUUUUCCAUUUUCAAUUAUGUGGAAGAAGUGGAACAAAUCUCUUUAGAUUGAUUUUAAUAAUUCGAAUUUCGUUGCUAUAACUUUGGGGAGUUUAAAGUGAUUGCCAUGAUUUUUUUUAAAUUGUGUUGACGUGCAUGCCUUUCAUUUUACUCAAUAUCAAUUUCUGAAGCAUCUUGAUACGAAUGUUCAAAUUGUGAAAGUAGAUGGAAAGUGGUGUAAUACCUGUGUAGUUGAGAAUGUUGAGAAAUGUAUGAAUGGGCACAAUGACCCGUGAAGCUGUUUGAUUAUGGGCACAAUGACCCAAGGUUCCCAGAGGAAAGCUUCAUGUGUGGGGGCUAUGAGAAUGAGUUACGAAAGUGAUAAAUACAUGUGAUAUGUAUAUUGGCCAGGUAUAUUACGGUUCUUUCCAAUCUGCUUAUCACUUGUUGGGAUAAAAGAAGAUCUUUGUGAUUUGGUGUGCUAGUAAUUCUUUAAAUGAUAAUGGCUUUGUUAUCCUUAUGACAAAAGAAGUGAUUUCGAACUUGUGUGUAGUACCGUUGUUAUCAAGCUACUAAUGAUCCAAAACCUUUGGUUUUUCUAUCAUAUAUUACUUUCCAGAAAUGUUUGAGCAUAUUUCAAAUUGUUGGAUUACGUAGUAGUGAAAAUAAAUGGUUUUGAAUCACUCUUAUUACUUUCGGCAUGCACUAGAGAUUUUAAAUGACUACGGACUUACCCCUAUUGGGCAUUUUAUGCUCACCCCAUUUUUCUAAACAUGUACUUUCAGGUGUGUAGAGUUGACUAGCUGAUUUUCAAGUGGCAGCUCUAGUGUGGGCUAGUUGAAGGGAGUCCAGGCGUACACGUCUUUUGGGUGAGCUACCAAAGUGUUGUAUAGUUGGUCUCUGUCUGUAAUCGAUCCUUUUGUUGUGUAGUAGCCUAAGUUGUUGUAGACCUCAGUGGGUUAGAGUCUCUACUUACCUGGUCCAUGAGAACCAUGUAUAUAUAAAUACUCGUCUUUUAGCUUGUAUAGUUUUGCUUAUGUACAUUUUCCUCAAAUGGCCUGAAAAUGUUUUCUUGUUAGAAGCCCUAAAGGUUUUUUAUGAACUUACUUUAAUCUGGAAGGUUUUAUGAAUGGCUCUUGAAGAACCACUAUGAACUUGGUUAUGUUUAAAACUGUGGGUGUGUAUCUAUUACCUAAGUGGUAUGUUGCAAAAUUCAGAUUUUUGUUCUUUGGAAUAUAAAUCGCUUUAUUUGCAAAGUAAUUUAGUGCUGCUGAAAUUGUUUUUACAGGAAAACAGCAGCAAGCCUGUUUUAGUUUUAAAAUUUUCCUAUACUUUCCGAACUCAAAAAUCAAUGAAAUUUUGACACAGCUUAGUUUCAUGGGGCUACUAUGGAUCUGGAAAUUUUCACUCAUUUUGGUUGAACGAGAUAAUUUUCAAUGAAUUUUACGGUUCAGGUCGCUUUUACAGUUUGUAUUACCAUGAGAUCUUUAACUCUUUCUUUAAAUUGACUUUUGUAGUUUAACUUUAAGGGAAUUGGGGAUUUAAAUUUUCGUUGACAUAAUCUUAAGAUGAGAUUUGUUUUGCAUCCUUAAACAACCACUUUGUUUUAUUUAUUUUGACUUAAUCUCACACCUCAAGUUUUGGGGUGUGACAAUUUGGUAUCAGAGUCUAGGGAGUAGGAUUGUUAGGGUUGAGUCUAGAAGUUUUAGCUUAAUUAAUAUUUUCUUGGGGAGUCUAGCAGAGUCUGUUGUUGUCGAAUAAAUGUUUUCUACAUCGUCUCAGGAUUGAAGGAUGUCCGCUGUAGCCAACACUAUUGAUCAUGAUGGUGAUGAUCAAAUGAAUAUUGAUCAUCCAAUGAACGAUCAGGGAGUUAAUAAUGUGAAUUGGAGACUGACAUGUUUGAAAGAUUUUCAAAAGUUAAAUCCUCAUAACUUUGCCAGAACCACGGAACCCUUAGAGGCAGAGUCUUGGCUUAAACAAGUGAAAAAGAAAUUAGAUGUUUUGAGAAUCCCCGAGGAUUUUAGAAUGGAGUUUGCUGCCUAUUUGUUUGUUGGUGAAGCAGAUCAUUGGUGGGACUAUAUCAGGAGGAUUGACAAUGUUGAAACCAUGACUUGGGCUAAUUUUGAGAAGACCUUCUAUGGCAAAUACUUCCCUCAAACCGUAAGGAAUGCAAAGUUGAAGGAAUUUGUUGAGCUAACUCAAGGCAAUCUCACAGUGACUCAAUAUGAAGGUAAAUUUACACAGCUUUCUUGUUAUGCACCACUACUAGUUGCUAAUGAGGAGAAUAAAACUAAUAGAUUCACUGAUGGUCUUAUACGCCUUAUACGGAAGAUAAUAGUCGCAUUGGGGCUGACAGUCUACAAGGAGGCAAUGGCUGCCACUUUACGAAUUGAGCAAGAGCAUAAUGAUCAUAUGGCUAAGCAAGCUAAGAAUAAGGCUCUUUCAAACAGUGGAAGGAAGAUUACUCGGAUAACUGAUUAUAGUGGUCAAAAAGGUGGCAACAAAGGAAGCAGCAGUAAUAGCUAUUUCAGAAAUCCAAGACCUAGCCCUUACUCUUGUUUCAAGUGUGGCCAACCUGGUCAUCUUCAACAUCAAUGUCCACAAAAGUCGAGUGUCACGACUAUAGUCAUCUACUUCCUACGAGAAGCACGGGCCCAACCGACGACUCUAUAGGUCAAAAAUCUCGCAACAAGCCUUGGGAUGGCCAAGGCUUAAGAAGCCACUAAAGUUGAGGGUCACAACUAUAGUAGCUGCGCGGACCUCCUCUACUUUCUAUAAGAAGCACGAGUCCGGCUGACGGCUCUAUAAGUUAAAAAUCUAGCAAUGUGCCCCGGGAGGGCUAAGGCUCAAGAAGCCACUAAAGUUGAGUGUCACAACUAUAGUAGCUGCGUGGACCUCCUAUGCUUCCUACGAGAAGCAUAGGUCCGGUCGACGGUUUUAUAAGUUAAAAAUCUCACAACGUGCCUCGGGAGGGCCAAGGCUUAAGAAGCCAUAAAGUCGAGUGUCACGACUUAUAGCAGCUACGCGGACCUCUUCUACUUCCUACAGGAAGCACGAGUCCGACCGACGACUUUAUAAGUAAAAAAACUCACAACAUGCCCAGGAAGGUUAAAGCUCAUGAAGCUACCCAAAGCUGAGAUCCGCAACUCGCCUGCCUCCUAUAGAGAUGACGAGCUCGGCUGCCAGCCCUAUAAGUUGGAAAUCUCGCAUUUCUUCAUUUUACAGGUAAAGCUCUAAAAACCCCAAAGCUAAAAUUGAAGCCUAAAGUGAUCACUUGAGUUAACUGCUCAAUCGGAGUAGCCCACUCAAUUGCCUGUCCUACGACAAAGUUUUGCAAAACGUCUCAAGCAGGCAAGGCUCCCGAAGCCCCAAAAGCCAAACUAAAACCCAAGUAACAAUGUGGGAUCAACUGCUUUGUUGAAGCAGCUCACCCAGCCGCCUGUCCUACAGUAAAGUUUCGCAAAAGACAUGGCAAAAUAAAAGGAUGAAGCAAAAACAAGGAAAACUGUUUAUUAAAUCUCUAGCAAAUUGAUAAACCAGCUCGAGGCCAACAAAGUUCAAGCAAAGCAGAACAAAAAGGGAAAGAAGAAAAAUUCCUAAGUGUAAGUAAAUAGACUACUCCUUAGCAGCUUGUACAACCACUGGAUCCUUAACAGCCCCGUCUCCAGCAGCCAUGUCAUUCCUAGCAGCUAAAGCUUCCAUCAAUUCAUCUUCAGCCGCCCAUGCCUGGACUGUCUGACCUUCAGCUGCUCCACCAAAGGCAGCCUUAAAUGAGAAAUCAAGCAGGUCAACCGGAGAAAUAGAAAAAGUCUCGAAGUCCUUUUUGGAAAACUCAUAAUCUGACGGCCUGCCCUGAAAAUGGUCUACAUAGCCAAGCUUGUGGAAAUCGGCCAGACAAGAAGCAAGCGCCACUUCGUGACCAGCUUUCUCAUUCUUCAGCUGCACAUUCUCCUUAACAAGCCUAGUGUGAGCACUCUGCAGCUCAUCCAGUUCCUUUUUCAGGUUCUCGUUAGCAGACAGCGUACCUUGCAAAUCCACAUCCAUGGACUCAAGUUUACUGGCAAUCUCCUUGAGACAAGACACUUCAGCAUGCAUGAAGAUAAGCUCUUCGUCCUUGGCACGCUCAAGGUCUUUGACCACCGGAGAAACAAGACUGAUUUCCUUCUCUACAGCUUACAACAUCGCUUGAGUCACACUAAGCCUAGCGUUCAAAUGGGUGGCCUCUUCACAAGCGAUCUCCAACUACAAAGAAGUGGAGGUAGAGACAUCAGACCCAUUCAAAACGGCGAGUUCAGAUUCGAGUUUCUCAAUCUUUUUAGCAACCGAGUGAAGCUGAGCCACCAAUGCCACUUCGGCCUCUUUAGCACACUUGAUAACAUUCUGAUCAACGCGCAUAGACUCAGCUGCCGGGAUUAAAGUCUUAUGCAUUGUAGCAAUAAGGGAUGACCUUCUUGAGUAAGCAGGACACUUCGCAAAUGAGUCUAAGCGGAUGACAACUUUCCCAACAUUGUUAACAAACUUGGCGCAUGCAUCGACGUCCUCAAGCAGGUCAGCCUUUAGCAAUGCAUAAACCUCAGGAAACUCUCCAGCCUCAGACUCAGUGGAUCUCUCACAACUGCCCACGCGAGCAGAUUUCCCCUUCUCAGCAGAAGAGUCAGUCACGACAGAAUGAGAAGAAGGCCCAGGUGCCACUUUAGCAGUAGAAUCCACCUUCCCGCUCUUCAUAGCGACGAGCCUCUCAGAAGCCGAUCCAGACUUAGCUCCCGAUGGACGUUUCAAUACAAACCCGGACACCGGAGGUACCACCGAACCCUUCUGCUGGGCAAGUCUCUCAGUAAUGGAUGCAGUCUCCUUCGAAGUAGUAAGUUUCAUAGGCUUAGGCUCGAUGGUCUUCUUCGCCCCCUUGGGGGAAGUUAGAUCAAUGACAAACCUCUCGGCAGCAGACGAGCUCCCACGAACAGCAGAGGAAUUCCUUAGCUUAUUCUCGGCUGAAGGCUUACGGGCAGGUGAGGAAUAUCUUUUCUUUCCACCCUCGUUAGUAGCAUGCUCUACAGCAGAGAUCAGGUAAGCUAACGCCUCACCCUUUAUCCACUUUAUCUCUUCAUUUGGAGGCAGACCACCUUUCUCCGGACGAAGAGGGCUGAGCAGCCAACGCCACUCACGAUACUCAGCAGGAAUGCCCAAGGCAACAUGCACUUUCUUUAUAUCUGUCGAAAUCCUUGGACUUGAGCCAAACUCUGAAUCUACGCAAAGUAAGAAAGACGAUCAAUAAAUUGAAGUCAUAGAGUAGCUCAACAAAAAUUCAAGCAGGACAAGAAUGAAGCAAUUCACUUACCACUAAUAAAGGUAGUCGGGACAUGCAGGUUAGGAAAAAAGUCAUACUUUCACUCUCCGCUCACCUUCAAUGUGUCUCUCACCCAUUCAAGAUCACAUUUGCUAGAAGCAUUGAACAGCCUAUGACGAGACCUCAGCUGCCCUACACUUUCCUUGUGGCCUAUCUCAAAGAAGUACUAGAACUCAUUUAUGGUCAAGCCAAGAUCAAAGAACCUACUUAAGUUUGAGAAUGCCACCAUCACACGAACUGCAUUUGGGGAGCACUGAGCGGGCAUGCAUUUCAUGGAGCAGAUCACCACUUGGAAAAGAUGUGGGAUGGGAAAAGUGAAUCGUAACAGAAAGUAAUAUGGAUGGAAUUUGAUAGUUCUCUUUCCAUCAAAAGUACCCUCGUCACAUAGUUCAUGGCUACUAUCAUCUUUCACCUGCUUGAUGCGAAACCCAGACGGAAUCGCAUGCUUGUACGCCUCAAGAAAAUCCCGAAACAACUCGUCAGAAUUGAUCUUGACAUGUGCAUCCUUGAAGUAACCCACCUUGUCGGAAGAACCACCUUAACGAUACAAAGGUGGAGGAUAUUCGUCACUUUUGCGGUCGAAGGAAGACAUGAAGCGGCGAGGCCCGAAGGUGCCAUACACCCCGUGGCCCAAGAUGACAGAGCCCAGCAUGGGGGGAGACUCGCGCCUUCUUCCCCUUUCUCCUUCAAUGCCCCCGUGCACUCCAAGCAGUCCUUGAGGCCUCUCGGCCAGUCCCCUUCGUUCCCUCUCGCCUGCAAUAGUAGGCCUGCACUGUUGCACCUAUCUCGGCCCCUACCAAGCAAAUUCAGAUGGGCUAGAGCCUUACGGCUUUCCCAGCUCAACGCCCCCACUCACCUAUAGCACCGUGGCCUCCCUGCCACACCAUCCAUGCAUCCUUGGCACCCACCAAGCCAAUUCCUCAAGCCCUAAGGCUCCUAAAAAUUCAAGAAGAAGAAAAAAUUCAAAUUUUUCUUACCUUGGUGCGACACAGAGAAAAAGAAGAACAACGAGAAACGACUCUUCGCAAAGGCAGGAAAAGAAGAACGCUACGAGAGGAAGGAAGAAAAAUUAUCCUCUGGCUUCUCUUUCUUGUUGGAAUAAUGAUUGUUCUCCAAAUUUAUUUAAUCCCCUACUUAAGGCAGAGUUAAAUAGGUAUUGGGGGCAAUUAUUUUCCUUUUCCUAGAAGAAGUCUAUCUCUAAAUCAAAGAAGAAGAUCAAGUUCAAAUUAGGAAACAACUCUACAAACCCAAGCAGCUUGGGAUUUCUACACCUACUGCCCUUUCCAUGAUAGCAGCACAGUAGAUGUGGGGGCAUUUGUGGAGCCUAAAAUAAUCCCAAAAAUUCUAGAGGCGACACGUGGACUUUUAUUCAAGAAAGACAAGAUUGCCCUCAAUAAAUGGGCAGGCUUCUCAGAUUCUCCCAUGCGCAGCUCACCUCCCUGAAGGACCCAGCAGUUGAAUACAAAUGCCCACAACUUACCUGCCCAUGACAAGGAAUUAAAGAUAAGGAUUAAUUACCCAAAUCUUAUCUUUAAUACAUUCCUAAUUAAAGAUUAACUCCAAUCAAGUAAGUAAUCCUAAUUUAAAUCAAUUAAGGAUUAUUAUCUCAAGAUAUUAUCUCCUAUUAAAUAUCUUGGGAAUAUUUAGAGAAUAUUUCUCCAUUAAACCCUAUAUGGUCGGCCCUAGCCCUAUAAAUACCCCAUAUUCUAUCAUUUUUUGGGGGCUUUUUGCAACCCUAAAAAGCCAAAACACUUUACUCUCUCAGAGAAACUAACUUAGGCAUCGGAGAUCCGUUGACCUAACCCCCCCACCUCACGAGCGCAUGAGGCUUAGGUCUGCAGGUGCAUUUUCGUCAACAUUGAAGACGGUGGAAAUUUGCAUCCACAGUUAUCAUCUGGUAGUUAAAGCCUCCAUCUUCCUUUGUAUGUCAAAAAUCAAUUUAUUUGUAUGUCAAACAAUUUCAGAGUGAUGGGGUGAGGAAGUUGACAAUUCACACUUAAAAGAACUUAUGCUGAUCACGGUAUUGUGAAUCGGUUUUUUGUUUUUUGUUGGUAUCCUCACACGCCUAACAAAAUGAUUUGGGAGAAUGUAAACGCGGUCAUAUUAGAGCAGGUCCACCCCUAAAGACUUUGCGCCAGCACCCAGUGCAUUUAUCCACUCAAAUAAAUAGUGAUAGACCACAAUGAACAGUAAUAGGCCAAUGAAUCUCCACCCCUAAAAAAAAUAGUCUAGUCAAUUUUAUUAAAAUAUUAGUAUUUUUAUUAUAAACACUUUCUUCUUCUUCCUCCUUCAACUCCUCUGACUGUCGUUUUGGUCCCCACGAUGCGUCAAUUCCUUCACUCCCAUCGCCAUCGCCCGCAUCUAGUCCUCAGCCUCAACCCCACGUCAGCAGCCGCUGCCCCCACCCUCUUGCCGCCGCCUCUACCACCAUCGCCUUCUCUCUCAUCCUCUUCCUCCUAGCCUGCUUCCGAAAAAUCACCCGGAAGCGGACUGCCCCGGAAUCCGACUCUUAGCCCUCCCACCGGUACUCCUACUCCGUCCUCCGCCAAGCGACUGACUCGUUCUCUUCGACACGCCGAUACGGCCAAGGCGGCUCCGGGUCCGUGUUCUUUGGCACAAUCCCACACACCCGCCAAGACGUCGCCGUCAAGCUCAUGGACUCCGGGUCGCUCCAGCGUGAGAGUGAGUUCCAAAACGAGCUCCAGAGCGAUUCAUCGCUCGUUGUCUCGAUGCUCGGAUUCUCCUCCGACGCCACGUUGACGUCAGAUAGGCCAGUCUCUGUCGAUUUUAGGCCGGCCUGUGGACUGGCUUGGGCUGGGUGCCAGUCGAUUUCACGGGCUGGAGUGAAUUGAUAGGGUGCCAGCCUAGUUUUUUGACUGGGUGCUUGGCUAUUCUGUUAGAAAUGUGCCCUAAAACCAAUCAUGUGAUGAUACUUUACGGACAUUUCACAUGUUAAACUAAUCUAGUUUAAUAUAAAGGGCAAAGAUUAUUGUUUGAGCCGUCUCAUAUAAAUGUUAUAUGCUUAAACGAUAAAGUCCAAGAAAUAUGUGAUUGGGAGAAUGCGAUCUAAAGAAGUUAGAUUCAUGAGACCAUUCUUUCGUAGACACAUCCUAAACGUUCCUGAUCAUAGGAUUGCCAAUUGGGCAUUGACAGUCCGUUAAAAUCAGUACGUACUGUGUCUUCUCUCAGGGAGAGUAACUAGUCUCGAGUCAUUGGUGUGUGUGACAUCAAGACAAGUACGUAGGUGCUCAAUAGAGAAUGAGUUCACUGAACACGAUCAACGAAGAGUUCUCAUAUUCAUGUCACAUGAGAACUCAUGGUUGGGAUAAUGCAAAGUAGUCCUUUGACCUGAGGCAUCACAGUUGUCUUGUGGUUAAGUCCUUGAUCUUUGAUUAUGUCAAAGUCACCCCAUCGGGGUGUCCACGGCAUCGUUGGGGUUAAGCCACUUAGUCAUGGAGGCAAGUGAAUGCGCAACAAGGGAUCUCUAACCUUCAAACCGUUUGAGGGAGAAUACUCUAUGAUAUGAUUUAAGAAUCUCUGGCCAGAGUAUGAAUGAGAUUUAGGAAAGCGUUCCAAAUCACAUUCAAGGUAAUCAUAUAAGCACACGAAUCACAUUGGAUAGUAGACAUGAAUAAAUAAACUAUCAAACCAAACAAUGUGGUCAAGAGUAUUGUAUUAGAGAAAGACCGUAUUGCAUUUGUAAUCCUAAACUGAAUAGGUUCUCCACCUCUUCUGAUUAGCUUGGGUAACCAUGAUAUGCUGCUAGGUGUCACUCAUGGUUUGUGGAAGCCCUAAACGUGUGUAAUCACCAAAGGGAGAAUUGAAAGUAAGUUUCAAUUCACAAUCGAUGUGAAAUGGUUUUAAUCGCCCACUGCCUCGCUAAAAGGAACCUAAUGGAUCGCACACCGUGUAAGGUGGAGAUUAAAGAAACAAUGGAGAUGAGUAAGAAUGAUUAAAUGGUUUAAUUAUUUAUUUAUGGCAAGGAUUAAUUAAUAUGUUAAUUAAUCAAACGAAUAAGUUCGUUAAAGACCUCGGGAUAGUUUUGGACCUUAAGGCCUAAUGGGCUUCGAACGUCAAGUCCAUUGACUUAAGUUGUAUGACAACUUAAUUCACUAAGACCCAAAAGCCCAAACUACACCCUAAGGCCGGCCAUAUUGUUAAGGGUAGUGAACUUGGACUUAUUUACAAGUUUGCCACUCAAAUGAAUAAAGGUAUAAAUAUGACUUUAUAGCCAAAAUUCAUUAAGGGUUUGUUUUGGAGAAAAUUGGGAGAGAACAUGUCUCUCCAUUUCUCUCUAAAGAGGCCGGCCACUUGGAGCGUGCAUCUAGCAAUCCCACUACUCCAAGGUCACUCAUUUCUUCUCCAAUCUCUCCUUGGUGAAGAGACUUAGAGGUUCUCAAUUUUGGGAACUUGGAGAAACCUUUUCAUCCAUCCAAAUCCAUAGAUUUUAGAUGCAAGGAAUGAAGGCCCUCUCUUUGGGUGAUUAGCCUUUGCUUAUGCAAAGAGGAAUCUACAAAGGUAUAAAUCUCAACUCACUUUGUUUUGAGUUGAUUAAUGGUUCACCAAUCUACUAGGCUUUGAAUUUCAUGGUUAAUGUUUUGUUUUUGAAUGCAUGCAAGCAUGAUUCCGCCUUUUAAUUGUUAAAUGCAUGCUAUAGAUGUUAUUCAAAUGAACAUGUUUUCACAAAAUCAUCCUUCAAGUGGUAUCAAAGCCUAGGUCUAGUAGUUGGUGAAUCCUUUUGGGUUUUGUAGUUCAUAGUCUUUGAUUUAAAAGUUGUAAUUGUUACAAGCUUUAUUCUUGUUUCUUUGAAUGUAAAUUUUGUUAGAAAAUUUGCCAUCUCAAAUGUUGUAGAUGUAGUUCAUAUGAGCAUGAACAUUGAAGCUAAAAUUUGGUGCCAUGCUUUUGGGAAUUUUCGGCCAAAUCCAAAGGGUGGAUUUUUGGGUUCUUGUUUGACUUGUUAAAAGUGUUUUCAAGUGACUUUUGGAACCCCUAUGUACCCUAGUUUGGUUAGAUGUUAUUUCCCUUAAGUUUGAAUGGUUUUGGAAUGUUUUUGGGUGGAAAAAGUUCAUGGAAAAAUUUUGGGUUUUUCAUGGAUGUUCUUCAUUGUUCUUGACAUUUUUGCCAAGAACAAAAAGGUUUGUGUUUUGAUUCAAAGUUUUGAUUUAUUUCAUAAAGUUUAUGUUUUAUGUUUUUCAAAUGUUUAAUGUGUUAGAUAUUUAUUUAAAUGGUGUAAGAGAUGUAAGAGAUAUUAUGGUGGGUGUGAAAGGAUUAAUUCCCUUUCACACACACCACUUGCAUCACUUGCAUGCUUUAUGUCAAAACUACAAAUCAACACACACAUCACUCUCUUUGGUCUCCAAAACCGGCCACCCUACAUGUAGGGUACUUUUGGGGCUUUUAUGCAAUUACAUAAAGUUUUGAUACUUUUGUGUAUUUGCACUUUGGCCCAAAAGUUUACGUUUUUACGUUUAGGUCCAAAAACGCUAAAGGACAAAUUGUUUUGCUCCUUUAAUGAAGUUUUUGCAUUAUUAAAAUUUUGGGUUCUAGUUGUAAUUACAUGAAGUAGUGGACUUUUGUGUUUUUACAAAGUGACCCCAAAAGUUUUGCAAUAUAGCCCAAAAGUUGAGGUUAAUUGCUUUAUGGCCCAAAUAAAUUGUGGUUAUUGCAUAUUGGCCCAAAUUAAGUAGAGAACAAAAUUGUUUUGUCUCUUUAAAUGAGAAUUGGAUUUUCAUUUUGUUUAGCUCCAUUUAAAUCAAUUUUAUGGAUACAAAAACCAAAUGAAAAUGUUGCAUUCAAUUUAAUUAGUUAAAGUGUUAAUUAAUUAAAGGGUGAUUAUGAACCUAAGCCUAAUAUAAUUGAGCUAUGUGAAUAGGCCGUUUCAAAUUUUGUUUGAACCAUGGGAAUGUGUAGAUUAGAUUUUGGUUGUAAUUUGAUUUGAUCAAAUGUUGUAAAAGGGCAUAAGCUCUUCUUUACUUUAAAGUAAUUUGUUUUAUGCAAAUGUUGUAAUGAGCAUAAGCUCACCUUUACUUUGAAGUACUUCUUUCUUGCUUUAUUUGAUAUGCAUGAAAAUGAAGUAGUUGGGUCCAACGCCCCUAAGACAACACGCCUUAAUGUGAUUAAACGCGUAACUAAAAUCAAUCACCAUCCCUAGACCGAGAUUCAACACACAAGGCUCGUGUUGAAUCUAAACAAAGGUUCAUAGUCAUCCUAAGGCCCUAAGGCAACUAUAUAGUCCAUCAAAUGAAUGCAAAGGUUAUGUUAGUAGUAUCAUAUACUCUUGCUUUAAAAAACCGUUUUAUAAGCAUAGUGGGAGUAUUAUAUACAACUAAAAACAAUCAUAUGGACCAAUAGUUGUAAUAGGACCAAAAUUGUUUUAAUAGAGAUUAAAAUGUAUGUUUAUAUGUGAUGAGACCUAAAACCCUCAACCAAACCAUUAUUAAGUUGAUAAGCGUGAGAGUGCUUUGAACACUCUUUCGUGGCCUUCCACCGUGGUAGGCUCCAAUCGUUUUGUGACUUCGUACACCGGCUUCACCCUAUCAUGGGGGAGUACAAAGUGCGUGCUUACACUCAGGAGGAGUUCUAUAUACAUACAUGAAUGAAGUGUAGGCAACGAGUUGAUAGCCAACAUGAUAUCAUUCGUGAGGCUAUUCUUGAACCCCUACACGAACUAGCAUGGUGGGAAUGACUUAACUAAGUGCAAUGGAGCCAACAUGAUAUCAUUGUGAGGCAUCAUUCUCUAGAGGCCAAAUAAGAUGGGUACUUGCAAGAGAUGCAAAUGAGUAAGCGUACUCUCUCAUUUAUUAUUAACGCUAGCCAAAUCAACAUGAUAUCAUUCUGAGGUGGGCUUGGUAAUAGUGAGCCUCCCAUACCCUACUAAGAGUUUCUUCCAAAACUCUCGAAUUCCAAUGAGGGAUAUGGAAUUUGCCAAAAAUAGUGGGUGGUGGUGCUAUUUUGAUUUAAAGACCCGAAUCAAAUGGCUUAAAAUCAAUCAAUUUAUAUUCGUUAUGUAUUUGUUUACCAAUAUAUUUGCAAACGCUAUCCAACACUAUAAAAGCCGAAAGCUUUAGUUUCCAGACUUGGUACUACAAUCCCAAAGAUUGUCUUAAAUGGAUUGUAAAUGUACCUAAGUAGUCUCAUCCUCACAAUCUUCCUAUUGAUAAUGUAUCAUUGGAAGAACAUGUUAGAUAAAGUCUAUCAUAAGAGGACAACACUUUUAAUGUCAUAAUUCUUCAAUUACAAAUUUGUUGUAUGAAGAAAUAAGAGUUGCUUUGAACAACCCUUAGUCAAUGCAAACACUUAGUGCUUGUUUCUUUGUUACAUGAACAAGGAACUUGAGAAGAAAGCACACAAGGGCAUGGACACUUUAAUGUGCCAUGAUUCUUCACUUACAAAUUGUUGUAUGAAGAAAUGAGAGUUGCCUUGUACAACUCUUGAAAGUUUGUAAUUAUGUUUAGAACAUAAUGGUUGGUUGACAAAAAUAGUCCAUCAACAUGGACUUAUGAUGAUUUUGAAUCAUUGAGUGUUGAAGUGAUAAACCACUUAACGAGACGGAAACUAGGCAAGGACUUCACCUUUGUGUCCCUAUCCUAAUGGUUCACUAAGUUUAUUGUAAACUAUAUAGUGAACAAUAACCACAUGCUCUCCAAAUUGUUUGAUGUGUAUAACACAAUUGAAAUAAGUUUCAAGAGAGAUAGUGGGAGUUUAGGGACCAUGACUAUUGUAGUCAAAGGAGAAGUCAAAUGAAGAAAGCGAAAUUAACUCCAAGGGAACAAACUUUCUUUAUGAAAGGAUGGACAUUGGAAGGGGUAUUUGCAAGAAAUGUCUUGCAAGUGUCAAGAACACACCUUUCGAAGGUGUUGUAAAUUGUUCUUGAAUAGUUCAAAACAGUUGGUUCUUCUACUUGAAUGCUUGAUUCCGUAUUAGUAACUAUGUUUUACAAUCGUUGUAAAAGUGUGGCUAAUAAGAAGUAGAAGAUUAAUGAGAGAAGAAGAAAGUACUUCACAUUCGGAAACGUGAAUCAAAUGUAGAUCUCUGCGAAAGCAGAUGGUACUUACUUCCUCAUAUGAACUACCAAAGAAAUUGGAAAAACCAAAGAUUGUCUUUACAUUCCAAUUUUAAGGAACUUAAUUCCGUCACUAUAGUAGAGAUGGAUGAAUGUUUUGUUUGACAAAACAUUGUUCUUUAUUAAUCAAUGAUUGGAUUAUAGUAAUCUAAUUGAUUGUCUCUAUAGUAGAGAUGAUAUGGUAGUGUUAACUGUUUAGAAUAUAAUGAUGCUUAAAACCCAAAAGGUUGCAAGGUAGUGACUAAUCCCAACUAAAGUUGUGAUACCUCUAAAACAUAAAUUACGAGUUGGUCAUAGAUGGAUGCUUUGGAUCGUUAGAUCCGGAUCCAAUACCUUCUUGUUAAAAUUGUAUAGAGGCGAAAUGUUCGAAUCUUUAUUCUUUUGGAAAGAAGAAAGAAUCACAAAAGUUGUUGAGGGUUAAUUCACUUAGAUGUUAGUGGCACUUGUCCACAACAUAAUACUACUCAUGUUAUAUGACAUUCACCGAAGAUCACUCUCGGUUGGACUAUAGUUUAUUUUGAAUAAACACAAGUCCGAAUACUUUGCAAAAGGUUUCAAAGAAUUCAAGAAAUGUAAGUUGAUGAGUAAGACGUCUAAAGUAUUUACCUCCUUAGAUUUGAUCUAAGGAAAUGGUAACACUUUAGAAUAGUUUUCCUUGAAAGAUAUCAAGGAAAAUAGCAUCAUAAGAUAAUGAAUUUCUCCAUUAGGAGAAGAACGAACUCGAAUAAGAUUUAGUUCGUUAGAUGUUAUCUAUUACCCAUAUAUAGGAUAUAUACUUCUAAAACAAUAUGAUUGUCAAUUAGAAGAUCUUCCAAAUUUUUCAUGACUCCAUAAGAUGUAGUUGGAAAGAAAGACAAAUCUUAAGCAUGUUAAGAUUUGGGGUUGUGUGCUAAUAAGCAAUAUUUGUUUGAUAACAAUCUUGUGGGAUAUCCUUAAAUUAACUUUUGGAUAUCGCUUCUAUAAACCAACUAACAAAUGUUGUUUUGUUGGGUAGUUCAUUGUAAUCUUACAAUGUGAUUUGCCUAAGAGCAAAUGAACGAGAGAUAGAACUCAAAGAAUGGGUUCUUUGAGAGACAAGAAAGUAAUCAAAACAAAUAUAACAACCUAGUUCCUAUACCAAAAGCUCCAAGGUAGUCGAGAAGGAUUUAUAAACCGUCUCAGUUGAAUGGUUUGAACUUUAUGACUAUGUCAUAGAGUUGCACCUCUUAAUUCGAAAGAAAUAAGAAUGAAAAUCCUUAUGACUACAUUGAGUGUAUAUAUGAUAUAUACUCAAGGAAAUGGUAAAGUACCAUUUGACCCGAAAUAAUGAAACCUUAAAUAGCUAAUUGGUAGCUUAAGGUGACUACAAUCAAAGAGAAUGGUUGACUUUGAAGAAACCAUCUUUGAGAUAGUCUUGGUUUCAAUUAAUUCGAAGAUUGCUAGCUACAACUAAAUGGUGAUUCAAUGUUUGGACAUAAUAUGGGUUUUCGAAACCAUUAUUAAGAUAGUCUUGAUAAUAUAUGUCUAAAAACUAUGAAUCACAAGACAUGUAAGUUGUAGAGAUCCAUCCAUCAUGGAAUCUUAGCAAGCUAGUGGGAGUUAUGAGCAUCUUAUGAGAAAAGGAUCAAAUCGUUUGAUUUCUCAUAAAGAUGUAAAUGAAUCUUUUGUUUACUAGGUUUACAAAAGAUUAGUGGGAGUUAAUCAUGUUCCUAAAAUUUAAAUAUAUAUAUUUGAUAUAUUAAUUUUGGAAAUGAAAAGAAUACUUCUUCGUAAAAGUUAUGACUUUAAAUAUUCUAUAACGAUAGAAUGUAUGCAGGAGGUAAUCAUGUUCCUAAAAUUUAAAAUAUAUAUGAUAUAUUAAUUUUGGAAAUGAAAAGAAAGCUUCUUCGUUAAAGUUAUGACUUUAAACAUUCUAUAAAGAUAGAAUGUAUAUGGGAGACAUUGUCUAUAUACAUGGGAUGGAAAUCUAUAAUGAUAGAUUUUAGGAUAUAAUUGGAUUAUAUCAAUUCCUAAUAAUAGACAAAAGAUGAUAGGAAGUUUCUCAUAUGAUGAUGAACUUCAAUCAAAUGGACAACUCUAGUGAGACUAAGGAAGUUGCUCUUCUCAAAGGAGAACGUACCUCUUUGACUCCCAAAGAAAUAAUGCGUAAAUAGAAUCCUUUAUGCAUACGCAUAAAGGUGAUUUAUGUAUUUCAUAUUGUAUGAAAAACAUUGAUAUGAGUUGUACCUAGAACGGUACAAGACGAUAUCAGUGCAAGCCCAGGAUCAGAACCAUGGCAACUGUCAAGUGAGUCCUUAAGUAUUUAAGAAAUACUAAAGGAUAGAUUCCUCAAAGAAUGAGGAAGAAUUAGAGUAACGUAAUGGAAGCGUAAAUGUAUUAGAUUAUGAAUCUAAUCCAUCAUUGGAUGUUUCUUCAUUAUGAAUGAAGAGAUAAACAGAAUAUCUCUUUAUUAUGACUAAAGAGAUAUUUGGAUGGAAACAUUAAAGUAAUGACUUUAGUGUGUUCCAUUAUGAAUGCAAAAAUAUAUUGCCAUAUAGAAGUUUACAACAAUGUUGUUUGGAUGGGAAAGUUCAUUUAUGAACUCUCUAUUCGGUUCCAACCAGAAAGUGUAUCUAGUGUACUGACACUAUGACACUAAUGGGGCGAUAGCUCAAGCCAGGGAAUCAAGGUCUCAUCAAGGUCCGAACUCAAUAUGAGAGACUGAACCACAUGAUUGAGAAUCAUGUAUAAUGGUGACGUCGUUAUUCUCAAGGUUGCUUCUAUGGAUAACAUAUAGAUAUCCAUUGUCUAGGCCUACUAUUCAGCCAUUUAUGAAAUGACUACAGAAGAGGUAUCAUCACUGAUGACCAAGCUGAUUGGCUCUAGUGCAAGUGGGAGAUUGUUGGAAAUGUGCCCUAAAACCAAUCAUAUGAUGAUACUUUACGGACAUUUCACAUGUUAAACUAAUCUAGUUUAAUAUAAAGGGCAAAGAUUAUUGUUUGAGCCGUCUCAUAUAAAUGUUAUAUGCUUAAACGAUAAAGUCCAAGGAAUAUGUGAUUGGGAGAAUGCGAUCUAAAGAAGUUAGAUUCAUGAGACCAUUCUUUCGUAGACACAUCCUAAACGUUCCUGAUCAUAGGAUUGCCAAUUGGGCAUUGACAGUCCGUUAAGAUCAGUACGUGCUGUGUCUUCUCUCAGGGAGAGUGACUAGUCUCGAGUCAUUGGUGUGUGUGACAUCAAGACAAGUACGUAGGUGCUCAAUAGAGAAUGAGUUCACUGAACACGAUCAACGAAGAGUUCUCAUAUUCAUGUCACAUGAGAACUCAUGGUUGGGAUAAUGCAAAGUAGUCCUUUGACCUGAGGCAUCACAGUUGUCUUGUGGUUAAGUCCUUGAUCUUUGAUUAUGUCAAAGUCACCCCCAUCGGGGUGUCCACGGCAUCGUUGGGGUUAAGCCACUUAGUCAUGGAGGCAAGUGAAUGCGCAACAAGGGAUCUCUAACCUUCAAACCGUUUGAGGGAGAAUACUCUAUGAUAUGAUUAAGAAUCUCUGGCCAGAGUAUGAAUGAGAUUUAGGAAAGUCGUUCCAAAUCACAUUCAAGGUAAUCAUAUAAGCACACGAAUCACAUUGGAUAGUAGACAUGAAUAAAUAAACUAUCAAACCAAACAAUGUGGUCAAGAGUAUUGUAUUAGAGAGAAAGACCGUAUUGCAUUUGUAAUCCUAAACUGAAUAGGUUCUCCACCUCUUCUGAUUAGCUUGGGUAACCAUGAUAUGCUGCUAGGUGUCACUCAUGGUUUGUGGAAGCCCUAAACGUGUGUAAUCACUAAAGGGAGAAUUGAAAGUAAGUUUCAAUUCACAAUCGAUUGUGAAAUGGUUUUUAAUCGCCCACUGCCUCGCUAAAAGGAACCUAAUGGAUCGCACACCGUGUAAGGUGGAGAUUGAAGAAACAAUGGAGAUGAGUAAGAAUGAUUAAAUGGUUUAAUUAUUUAUUUAUGGCAAGGAUUAAUUAAUAUGUUAAUUAAUCAAACGAAUAAGUUCGUUAAAGACCUCGGGAUAGUUUUGGACCUUAAGGCCCAAUGGGCUUCGAACGUCAAGCCCAUUGACUUAAGUUGUAUGACAACUUAAUUCACUAAGACCCAAAAGCCCAAACUACACCCUAAGGCCGGCCAUAUUGUUAAGGGUAGUGAACUUGGACUUAUUUACAAGUUUGCCACUCAAAUGAAUAAAGGUAUAAAUAUGACUUUAUAGCCAAAAUUCAUUAAGGGUUUGUUUUGGAGAAAAUUGGAGAGAACAUGUCUCUCCAUUUCUCUCUAAAGAGGUCGGCCCCUUGGAGGGUGCAUCUAGCAAUCCCACUACUCUAAGGUCACUCAUUUCUUCUCCAAUCUCUCCUUGGUGAAGAGACUUAGAGGUUCUCAAUUUUGGGAACUUGGAGAAACCUUUUCAUCCAUCCAAAUCCAUAGAUUUUAGAUGCAAGGAAUGAAGGCCCUCUCUUUGGGUGAUUAGCCUUUGCUUAUGCAAAGAGGAAUCUACAAAGGUAUAAAUCUCAACUCACUUUGUUUUGAGUUGAUUAAUGGUUCACCAAUCUACUAGGCUUUGAAUUUCAUGGUUAAUGUUUUGUUUUUGAAUGCAUGAAAGCAUGAUUCCGCCUUUUAAUUGUUAAAUGCAUGCUAUAGAUGUUAUUCAAAUGAACAUGUUUUCACAAAAUCAUCCUUCAUAUUCCACCUUCAGUGGAACUGCUUUUACAAAUAUGGGCUGAAGUCUUCUUCUCACCGCUUGCUUACCUCUAAAUUUGUAGGCGGCCGAGGCUCUUUGUAAGUGUUUUACAGUUAUUUUUUGUGUGAUUAUGCAUGCCUCCUUUGUUAACAUAAACAUAUUUCCAGAAACAUGCAAUAUGAACCACAGUACUUCAAACACAAAUCCAUGUUCAUAAUCCUUUAAACACCUAAAGAAAACCUUACCUGCAGUUGAAUUUGAAGAAUGUCCGAUUUCUACAGCAAAGUAGAAGUGCACCUUCUCCUCUCUUCAGUAAUCAGUUUGCUCUUAACUAGUAAUAGGUCAAAAUUCAAAGAAUAGAGCACGUACAAACUGUGAGAGCAGAUGCCACUUUAUAUACAACAUAAUCCUAGCCAAGUCUUUAGAAUCCAUAUAGACAAUCAAUUCAUUACACAUAGUGUUUCAGCAUAACAUAGGUUACAAAUCCAUUCCUAAUAAGACUUCCUAUCUAAUCUUGAAUCAAAUAACUUAAUCCACAUAUUCAUACUCAUGCUCAUAUUCUAACAUCCUUUGAUUGAUAGCGCUUAGUUUAGAUUUUAUGCAUUUUGCUUCCAAUUCAGCAUCACCUUACGAAUGUGAAAUUUAGUUACUUGGUUAUAUGGUGCUUACUAACUGUACUUAUGUUUGCAAUAGACAUGAAUUUUUGAAUUGCUUCUUGCACUUUAAAAAAUGAACCACUUUUGCCAAGAACUGAAUAGAAGGGCUUCCUCUGUUGCAUUGGAAACGUACGGUGGGCACAAACUUCCGUGUAGGAUGGAAUUGACGAAAAUCUACACUGUUGAGGUAAGAAAAUGACAUAAAUUAAAGUGCCCUUGUUUUUCCUUGGUGUAUCGGUCCGCGAAAUUUUCAAAUGACAUAAAUCAUAAAUUUUGUUUUUCCUUCAUUUCAACUAGUUCUGCACCCUGUGCAAUUAAACUACCAAAUCUUUAUAUAUAAAGCCAGCAGCCCUAAUUUGGGGUCACGGAUUCACCAAAAAAUAUUUGGAUCCCAAAACAAAAAAGUUGAAACGUAGUCCAAAAUAAAGCAUCAAAUAAUAUAAAAGUAUUUUCGUCAUACAAACAGUGUUUUUUAGUUUUUUUUGUACAAUAUUUUUUUAUUUUAUAAUUAGUACCUCACAAUGGGCUAGCAAUAAUGUGAUUCAAUCAAUUGUUCAUUAAAUAUUAUUUUCUCUAUUUUUAAACACGUUCAAAACAUCUUAAUUGGAGUGUAGUGUCGGUUAUAAAAAGGUCUUUCGCACGUGCAUAAUAAUGUGAUCAAUUAGUUGUCAAUUUUUUUUUUGAACAAAUGAUAUUAUCUACACUAUGGGGGAGGGAGGUGGGCUUAGCCUCAUAAUGAGUUAACAAUAAUGUGAUUCAAUCAGUUGUUUAUUAAAUAUUAUUUUCUCUACUUUUAAACACGUUCAAAAUAUCUUAAGUGGUGCAUAGUGCUGGUUAUAAAAAAUGUCUUUCACACUCACAUAAUAAUGUGAUUCAAUUAGUUGUCAAAUGAUUUUUUUUUUUAACAAACGAUAUUAUCUACACUAAGGAAGAGGGGAGUGGGCUUAGCCUCACAAUGGGCUAGCAAUAAUGUGAUUCAAUCAAUUGUUUAUUAAAUAUUAUUUUCUCUGUUUUUAAUGUAAAUUGUGAUGACCCUUCCUGAAUUAUUAUAUAUUUUUCUCCCCGAGUGUGUAAAGUGAUGGUAAUGCCCCCGUGGUUUAGUGAUGUGGAUGUACAUAUGUAGUUUAAAAUUAUUAUUUCUACCGUCGUAGUUAAAUUGUACUCGACGCCAUGAGUGUGUUGAUGUGACCUAGGCCGAAUCAGAUUCGUAACGAAGAAGUUACGAACAAACGAGUGUGUAAAUAGGCAAAAAUAUAUUUUAUGGGUUGGCUAUACCUUACCCACCAAUCACCUUAGUUCCUGAUUUCUUUGGCCCAAUUAAAUUAAAAAUCUCUCACCUUUUUCCUUUUGCCCAAUCACGCACGCACACACCCUUACUCUCUCUCUUCUCUCGGACCUUCUUCUUCUUUCUUCUCCUUCUGUACACCUGAGCCACCCUUACCUCACAAUCAUCAUCAAAAAUCACGGAUCGAACUAGAAAUCACUACCAUCGCACUCACCUCGACCCCACGAACUCAUUGGUACCCUUAGGUCGAGGAAUAGACAUCGGGAAUUCGAGAACUCGCGAGCUCCGACGAGGUGUAUUUUUCUACGUUGUGAUCGUGGUCUUUUCCUAAGGUUUAAACGCUCGAGGUGGGUCCUAAUCAAAUUUAUAGGGACCCUAGAUUAGUUUUGGAGCAGUUGGAAUGUUGGAAUAGACGAGAACACAGAGUUGCAGGUUGGCCGGUUGUUCCAAGCCUUAUUCCGACCACUUUCUGUCAGUUUUAGAACCUCAAAUAAGUGAGAUUGUGUUCUUCUAGUUUAGAGCUUCAAAUCCAUAUAAAAUUCGUGGAAUUUGGUUGAAAAAUGAUGAAGAUAUUAAAGUUUUAAGAUUUUCCAGAAACCGGCGACACAGACGGUAGCUGGCGGCGGAUUCUGGCGAAGCCACCAGAGAAGGAGGAGAAUAUUCUGUCAACUUUGAUGGAAUAUACUAAUGGCGUUAGGUAACUCGGUUAGUUUUUAAACAAAAUAUUCUACUAUUUAACGGAAUAUUCCCUAACGGCGUUAGGGACUCCGUCAGCGUGCCAGGCACGUGCUUGCGUGUGGCCGGCACGUGAGACGUCAGGAAAUUAAUCUAAAAAUAUCAGAGUGUUCGUGUUGUUGAGUAUGUCACGUUGGUAUAUUCAAACAACCCAUUUGAGCAACAUAUGAGAAGUUAUUCCUAGAGUUUGUGUAUGUGCUUUAGAAUUAAUGUAAAAUUAGUUAUUUCGCAUAUAGGUGAGACAUACCCGAAGGACGAGCGUGGUCAGGUGAGACUUGGGGGCUACGAUCCUGCUACUUACUAGUGAGUGAGCUUUUGUUUUCUAUAUAUGUGUAUAUAUGCUUAUGAUUCCCAUAAACUAUUUUAAAUGAAUGUAAGUUUUAAAUGUCAUGUCAUGUGUGCAUUAUGUGUUAGUAUUACAUUAGUAUAGCUACGCAUAGUAUUGGAUGAGACUACAGAGGCUUAGGUAAGCUUUAGGUGAGUACAUCAUCAUGGUAUUGGUUGCGUUGUGUGUGGUUAUAUGUUGAUGCAUGAUAGGGAUUUUACUACACACGUAAACGGGCUAAAAACUCCUAUAAUACUUGGAGGAAUGACAAGGUUAUUGUAGUAUAAACGGAUCUCGCAAGGUCAUUCUCCACAGGGAUUAUUAAAUAAUUCGAAACAAACCAAAUUCCAAUUAAUUAUUGUAAACUAGAAAUUGAGAUGAUUGAUUUUAUAACCUACUUAAAUUAAAAACGAAUUUAAUUAAUAAAAGUAAACUAAUAUGCAAUAUUAAAGAUGAAAGAAAAGGAACCAGUUUUGGAGAAAUCAAAUUAAGAAAGCACUAGGGUUCCACCAUCACCUAGCAAUCCCAUGAACUUUUACCAAUUACUUAUGAUCUACACAUGCCACUUUGAAGGUUAAAUUUUCCUAAUUCAUAUUCUACUUGGAACCUCCAACAUAGAACGUAUAUUAAACAUGCAACCCGUCCGGACGUUCGGAUCAAAUCUGAACAUGAAAGACUCAUUAUGCUUUAUGAAAACCCUUUGAAAAACCAUGCAAUUCUUAAGACGUGGUGUUCAUCUUAAGUGAAAUUACAAUUAUUAAUCACAAGAAGCCAGCGUCAAUUUCAGGGAACCUUCUGACCAAAAUUACAUCAAAUUACUUUUCUAAAGAUCCUAAUGGUGAUCAGGCAUUAAGACAAUUAGAUAGUUUUAAUCUCGGUAAUUAAUAAUUCAAAGUAUGCAUGCAAUCAAUCAUAAACAAUUAAAUAAAAAUCACAUAUUCAUGCUAAGGCUCACGGCUUCGCCCUAGCAAAAGGAAUUAGUUAUUCAUAUUCAUAAUUAAAAUCAUAGAAAAUAUUAUUAAGAAAAUGAUUGAAAGCACCUUCAAGUAGAAAAUCUCCAAGAAUCCUAGCAAUUCUUUCUGUCGCCAAAGUUUCAUAAAAGAAAGCGUAGAAAAAAAACUAAGAACGGCAAAGCAAUAUAUUUGCUAAGCCAUCCACAAACCCUAAAACAUAGGUCUCUUAUUCCAAUUAGGAAACUAAGAAAAAUAAUAAUAUAUAUUAGAAAAUAAAACCCUAAUUAAACUAGGAGAAUCUCCCAAGCACUUGUCCAGCCAUGUUUUAGCCUCAGAUGUCCUCCAAAUCUGACCCAAGAUUGUUUUAAAGAUUAGGACGUUCCUAACACAUCUCCAGAAGGCCACAAAACCAUCCGAGGUUAUCUUGGGCUCCAAAAACGCAAUUUAAGCCCACAAACGUCAUUUUUCAACACCGCACAUCGCUCCUAUAUUUUUAUUGCCAGAAAAUAACUGCUUGGUGGAAAAAUCCCAAAUUUUGAUACGAUCAAGCUAAGUGACUCACAAACGUCCCCCAACUAGAAUUACUUCAAAAUUCGUCCAUUUGGUCCUGUUUUACUCCAGAGGAAGUCGACAGUCCUAUAUUGAAAAUACAAUUCAAAGUAUCAAAAUUCUUCCAAAAUAUUUAAUAAAAUAUACUAAGAAUAGGGUAAAAUAUAUAAUAUAAAAUCUACUCAUCAAUGCAUUUUGAGCUCAUUAUCCUGCACCCUGAUGUUAGUGCUCCCGCCCGUGGUUAGGGCACAAUCUUUCACGUGAUGUUCACCUCCUGAACCGCACGCACACCUUGGAUCCAAGUUUGGUGCACAGCCUUAUUGUACAGACCACAAUAAGUGGUACCGACUCGUAGGUGACCCGUGAUUAUUCGCACAGCCUUCACGUGAUCGUAGCACUUAAGCUUACUUAUCUACACCCAGCCUUGUCGUACAGACCACAAUAGGUGGUUCCGACUCGUGUGCAGGCAUUCUUGAUGAGUUAUAGAUUCAGCCGUACAGGUCACAUUAGGUGGCUCCGGCUGUCAUACUAUUUUACAUUGAUUCGUAUCACUUGGCUUACACAUUUUAUGGUUGAACAUCUUGACAUGGCAUACCUCUGUUUUCACUGCUUUUAAGCAUUAGCUUUAUGUACCUACUUGUGAUUAUUUUUUGGGAAAUUAUACGGGUUUUACAAUAAGGGGUUAGUAUGUUCAUAAAGACAACUGUGUUUUCAAAAGCUUUGUUUUUGCCCACUCACGUCUUCUGUUUUGCGCCCCGCCAGGUUCUAGAUAGCUGGUCAUCCUUGGUGGCUCACGAGGACUUUCACAGUGGUUUUGACAUCUCUAUAAAUAAGUAGGGAUCUUUUCACUGUUGUAUAAUUAGUACUUAGUUGGCUCGACUGCACUUACCUAUGCUCUGAUAUUUGUAUAACUUGCUUGGUUACCUUCACUCACUUAUAUUAUCUUAGUUUAGAUAAGUUUGGUUUUAAGUUUUUAUUUAUUCACAUUUCUUUUAUUAUCAGUUCUGUUGCGCAUUUUGGCUACGUCAGCUUCACAUGACGGCUAACACGUCUCGACUUCGGUCGGGGUGUGUCAUAAAUUCAAUAGAAUGUAGAUGGAAUUUAAAAGACCGAUUUAUUAUGUGGAUUCAGCUACUUUGAUUGGUUUAUGAGGGGUUUCUUCUAGCAUGGUCUAAUAUGAUUCAUUUAGUCCAAAUAUUUGACUUUCUUUUUGUCAUAAAAAAAGAUAUUGAAGCAAUUUAUGCAUAUAAAUAUAUAAAUGUGUAAGUUGUGCGUAGCACGCUAUAAUUCAAAAAAUAUUUUUUGCAUUGAUGUAAGCACGUGCAUGAAGGCUAGUCAAGAAGAAUAUGUGCCUUUGUUUGCUUCACUUCAACCAGUCUUGCAUAGAUACCAAAAUCCAAAGGUACCAAGGUCAAACUCUUGGGAAAAAAAUUGUGCAAAAGCCAGUGUUUUCUCUAUUUCAAACACGCUCCUCUAGUCCAUAGUACCCAUCCAUAGCCCCCUUCCCAUAGCCUCUAACCCAGCCACACAACCCACCAUCUAAUCUCAAGCACAGAUAACCCAAACCAUCACACAAUUGAUAAAUUCAUUCUCAGAGUGGAGUGUAUUGCAGUUCGUUUCUUCUUUUUUUGUAGUUCUUCUUUUUGUUUUAGGUAAAGUUUUAUCUGAACUUUUGGGUCGCUGGAAGAGACAGUCCCUCUCAAUUGAAAUUGUAAAAUGAGAACUCCUUUUGCGGAAUUUGAACUGGAAAAUUAGAGCCCCAAUUUCCCUGAGUUUUUUCAUUCGUCAAUUGUUGAUUUAUGGGCGUCAAGUUGACAAACGCAAAAAAAAUUGAACUCCCAUCCCUCAAAUCCCGACUUGUAGCUAAUUUCCGACUUAUUUUUCCACAUCCAAACACACUGUUAGGGAAUUUAUUGUUUCUUCUUAUUCGCCAAAGGGGCAAAGUAGACAUAAAAAUAAGAAAUAAAAUAUUUAAACCAAAGUUAAAUGUCACAACCUUAUUCAACAAGGAAUGACUUCUUAUUCGCUAAGCAAUAUCCUUAUGUGUAUAUAAACAACUGACUUGAGUCCUUUUGGUUUUAAAUUCGAACUAAAACUGUCAUGUAUCUGUUCCUACCGAGUUCUUCAGUUUGGUUGCAUUUGACAUCUCUCAUGUUCUUCUGUUUGUGUAGGUGAAAAGGGUAGGCCAAGCUUGUAGCUAGCUCCCAUCCUAUUUAUACAGAGAAAGUAUAUAAGCAGACAACACAACCGUGCUUCUAAGAGCAUCUCCAAUCUGCCAAAUGGGAUUGUAAAGCAACGUUUACAUUUCCCGCAACCCGUCCGGACGUUCGGAUCAAAUCUGAACAUGAAAGACUCAUUAUGCUUUAUGAAAACCCUUUGAAAAACCAUGCAAUCCUUAAGACGUGAUGUUCAUCUUAAGUGAAAUUACAAUUAUUAAUCACAAGAAACCAGCGUCAAUUUCAGGGAACCUUCCGAUCAAAAUUGCAUCAAAUUACUUUUCUAAAGAUCCUAAUGGUAAUCAGGCAUUAAGACUUAGAUAGUUUUAAUCUCGGUAAUUAAUAAUUCAAAUUAUGCAUGCAAUCAAUCAUAAGCAAUUAAAUGAAAAUCACAUAUUCAUGCUAAGGCUCAUGGCUUCGCCCUAGCAAAAGGAAUUAGUUACGCAUAUUCAUAAUUAAAAUCAUAGAAAAUAUUAUUAAGAAAAGGAUUGAAAACACCUUCAAGUAGAAAAUCUCCAAGAAUCCUAGCAAUUUUUUCUGUCUCCGAAGUUGCAUAAAAGAAAGCGUAGAAAAAAAACUAAGAACGGCAAAGCAAUAUAUUUGCUAAGCCAUCCACAAACCCUAAAACAUAGGUCUCUUAUUCCAAUUAGGAAACUAAGAAAAAUAAUAAUAUAUAUUAGAAAAUAAAACCCUAAUUAAACUAGAAGAAUCUGCCAAGCACUUGUCCAGCCAUGUUUUAGCCUCAGAUCUCCUCCAAAUCCGACCCAAGAUUGUUUUAAAGAUUAGAACGUUCCUAACACAUCUCUAGAAGGCCACAAAACCAUUCGAUGUCAUCUUGGGCUCCAAAAACGCAAUUUAAGCCCAAAAAUGUCAUUUUCCAACACCGCGCAUCGCUCCUUUAUUUUAUUGCCAGAAAAUAACCGCUUGGUGGAAAAAUCCCAAAUUUUGAUACGAUCAAGCUAAGUGACUCACAAACAUCCCCUAACUAGAAUUACUUCAAAAUUCGUCCAUUUGGUCUUGUUUUGCUCCAAAGGAAGUCAACAGUCCUAUAUUGAAAAUACAAUUCAAAGUAUCAAAAUUCUUCAAAAAUAUUUACCAAAAUAUACUAAGAAUAGGGUAAAAUAUAUAAUAUAAAAUCUACUCAUCAAUGCAUUUUGAGCUCAUUAUCCUGCACCCUGAUGUUAGUACUCCCGCCCAUGGUUAGGGCACAAUCUUUCACGUGAUGUUCACCUCCUGAACUGCAUGCUCACCUUGGAUCCAAGUUUGGUGCACAACCUUAUUGUACAGACCACAAUAGGUGGUACCGACUCGUAAGUGACCCGCGAUUAUUCGCACAGCCUUCACGUGAUCGUAGCACUUAAGAGUAGUUAUUUACACCCAGCCUUGUUGUACAGACCACAAUAGGUGGUUCCGACUCGUGUGCAGGCAUUCUUGAUGAGUUAUAGAUUCAGCCGUACAGGUCACAUUAGGUGACUCCGGCUGUCAUACUAUUUUACAUUGAUUCGUAUCACUUGGCUUACACAUUUUAUGGUUGAACAUCUUGACAUGGCAUACCUCUGUUUUCACUGCUUCUAAGCAUUAUCUUUAUGUACCUACGUGUGAUUAUUUUUUGGGAAAUUAUACGGGUUUUACAAUGAGGGGUUAGUAUGUUCAUAAAGACAACUGUGUUUUCAAAAGCUUUGUUUUUGCCCACUCACGUCUUCUGUUUUGCGCCCCGCCAGGUUCUAGAUAGCUGGUCAUCCUUGGUGGCUCACGAGGACUUUCACGGUGGUUCUGACAUCUCUAUAAAUAAGUAGGGAUCUUUUCACUGUUGUAUAAUUAGUACUUAGUUGGCUCGACUGCACUUACCUAUGCUCUGAUAUUUGUAUAACUUGCUUGGUUACCUUCACUCACUUAUAUUAUCUUAGUUUACAUAAGAUUGGUUUUAAGUUUUUAUUUAUUCAUAUUUCUUUUAUUAUCAGUUCUAUUGCGCAUUUUGGCUACGUCAGCCUCACAUGACGGCCAACACGUCUCGACUUCGGUCGGGGUGUGUCAUAAAUUCAAUAGAAUGUAGAUGGAAAUUAAAAGACAGAUUUUAUUAUGUGGAUUCAGCUGCUUUGAUUGGUUUAUGAAGGGUUUCUUCUAGCAUGGUCUAAUAUGAUUCAUUUAGUCCAAAUAUUUGACUUUCUUUUUGUCAUAAAAAAAGAUAUUGAAGCAAUUUAUGCAUAUAAAUAUAUAAAUGUGUAAGUUGUGCGUAGCACGCUAUAAUUCAAAAAAUAUUUUUUGCAAUGAUGUAAGCGCGUGCAUGAAGGCUAGUCAAGAAGAACAUGUGCCUUUGUUUGCUUCACUUCAACUAGUCCUGCAUAGAUACCAAAAUCCAAAGGUACCAAGGUCAAACUCUUGGGGAAAAAAUUGUGCAAAAGCCAGUGUUUUCUCUAUUUCAAACACGCUCCUCUAGUCCAUACUACCCAUCCAUAGCCCCCUCCCCAUAGUCUCUAACCCAGCCACACAACCCACCAUCUAAUCUCAAGCACAGAUAACCCAAACCAUCACACAAUUGAUUCAUUCAUUUUCAGAGUGGAGUGUAUUGCAGUUCGUUUCUUCUUUUUUUGUAGUUCUUCUUUUUGUUUUAGGUAAAGUUUUGUCUGAACUUUUGGGUCGCUGGAAGAGAUACUUUCCCUCUCAAUUGAAAUUGUAAAAUGAGAACUCCUUUUGCGGAAUUUGAACUCGAAAAUUAGAGCCCCAAUUUCCCUGAGUUUUUUCAUUCGUCAAUUGUUGAUUUAUGGGCGUCAAGUUGACAAACGCAAAAAAAAUUGAACUCCCAUCCCUCAAAUCCCGACUUGUAGCUAAUUUCCGACUUAUUUUUCCACAUCCAAACACACUGUUAGGGAAUUUAUUGUUUCUUCUUAUUCGCCAAAGGGGCAAAGUAGACAUAAAAAUAAGAAAUAAAAUAUUUAAACCAAAGUUAAAUGUCACAACCUUAUUCAACAAGGAAUGACUUCUUAUUCGCCAAGCAAUAUCCUUAUGUGUAUAUAAACAACUGACUUGAGUCCUUUUGGUUGAAAUUCGAACUAAAACUGUCAUGUAUCUGUCCCUACCGAGUUCUUCAGUUUGGUUGCAUUUGACAUCUCUCAUGUUCUUCUGUUUGUGUAGGUGAAAAGGGUAGGCCAAGCUUGUAGCUAGCUCCCAUCCUAUUUAUACAGAGAAAGUAUAUAAGCAGACAACACAACCGUGCUUCUAAGAGCAUCUCCAAUCUGCCAAAUGGGAUUGUAAAGCAACGUUUACAUUUCCCGCAGCCGGAAGUUGCUCCAGUCUCGGUGCUUUUGCUACUCACCGGAAAAUGCAGGUAAAGAUGCAUAAGGUGGGCUCCUCAAAGGAAAAAGAAGAGAAGGGUUCACGCGCAAAUAUGCCUAAUACUCGCCAAACAAGCGAUAGUUGGAGGCCUAUAUAUUUGGAAGGUCAAGAUUCAAGCAUACAUUAAUCCAAAGUUUGUAAAUAAUCGAAUAAAUACCAUUUGACAAAAAAAAAAAAAAAAAAAAAAAACAGACCCCUUCACAUAUAGGCAUAACAUUUGUUCAUCCAUCUACCAAAUUUUUUUUCCUUUUAAUUCUCACACAAAACACUUCCUCAUUCAAAUUUUUUCUAGGUUUUCUUCAACCUUCUUCCACAUCUCCUCAUUCAAAAAAAUUUGAUCGAAUUGUGCGGAAAAAGUGAUGUUAACAAAAAACUAAAUAAAUAGUAAAAAAGUUAAGAUAAAAAAAAUCUACCCCGGGGUGGUGGCGGCGGUGGGGUUGAGGCAGUGCCGGCUUUUUCACCGGGGGCGAUGGUGGUUAGGUUGAGUGACUUGGUUCUAUUAAAAAUCAAAGGACUUUAGUUGCAUUAGCCUGAGGGAGGCUGGUUCAAACAUGAAACAGCUUAUUUGACAUACGUAAAAUCUUCACAGAUCCAUCUUAAAAAGAACAGUCAAAUAUAUAUCAGUUUUCGGUGAUGAAUUUUUAUUAGUUACAUGAGUUAAUCACGACUUCAUCAAAUGUGAAUCCAAGAUUAUUAUUGCUGACCAAUAUGUGAACUCGUUGAAGGCUCAUCAAUUUUCACCGCCUCUGCAUUGCCAUGCAAACCUUUACCAACCCUCUCGUUCUUCCUUAUUAUUUCGUCGAUAUGAACAUCGUCGUCAAUUGUCAACACCACAGCUUUCGACCCAUGCAGACCUUCUACGAUGUCUUCCUUCACCUUCCGAUGUUCGUUGACGUUAACGAUUUCGGUUUCCCAUUGGACACCUGAACUCUUUGCUUUUCCAUGCAAACCCUCGUGACUAAUUGUCUCAUUCUUCCUUAUCUCCUCGUCGAUAUGGACAUCAUCCUCAACUGACAACACCACGGCUUGGGGUCCCUUGGGACCUUCGACAAUGGCUUCCUUGAUCUUCCGGUGUUUGUCGAUGUGAAUGAAGUCGGUUUCUUGGAUUGUCUUUUUCUUUCUCCUCUUGAUGCAACAGAGUAGGGCAACUGCAAGGAAUCCAAGGAAGAAAACGGAACCUAAUGAUAUGAACACAAUGACUAUGACGGUGGGAUGAUUGUCCGGGGUUGGUGAUGGUGGCAAUUGCGGUGGCGGAGGGCGUACGUGAGGUGGGGGCGGUGGCCUAAAUGGCUGAUGUGGAGGUGGUGGUAUUAUAAAUGGCUUAUGUGGUGGUGAUGGGGUUGAGGGGCUUGGAGGCUUUGCCCCCGGGGGUGGUGGUGGUGGGAUUGAUGGACGUGGUGGCUUUGCUGACGGAGUUGGCGGUGGGGUUGAUUGACUUGGUGGUUUUUCUGAUGGAGGUGGUGGUGGGGUUGAGUGACUUGGAGGCUUUGCUGACGGAGGUGGUGGUGGGAUUGAUGGACGUGGCGGCCUUGCUGACGGAGUUAGUGGUGGGGUCGAUUGACCUGGUGGUUUUGCUGAUGGAGGUGGUGGGGUUGAGUGACUUGGAGGCUUUGCCCCCGGGGACGGAGGUGGUGGAGGGAAAAAUGGGAAGUAGUAGCUAUUUGGAUUGGCCAUCUUAUUUGUAAAAUAAAGUCUGUAACGUGGUAGAUGAGAAUUGAAUUGUUGUGGAGAAAGUGGUGGACUUGAAAAGCCUAUUUGUAGCAAAGAGUUUAUACUAAAUUAAAAGUAAGAGUUCAUUUUUUAAUGUUCGUGACUUAACUCUCAUUCUAAGAUUCGGAGCUGGAAAAGGUUUGUUUGCAUUCCAAAACACUUCUCAAAGUUUUCUUGUUUCUCUUAUAUUGCAAUUCCUCCACCAAGGUGAUAUAGUUUUUUAGUUUGCUGAGUGUGUGUGUAUAUAUACACAAGCCCUUUAUCCAAAUGGAUUUCCAUUCUUGGGUAAAAAUGAGACUAGUUGUAGGACCUACUCUACAUCGAUUUUCAAUGAUUUGAACCGUUUAUCUUGCAAGUCUCGAUUCAUAAAUCAUCCUUGCAGAAAUUCAAUUCAAUCACAAACCAUUUGCCUAUUUAAUUAUCACAAUAAAAUUUCGUUGUUUUUUGUAGAACAAAGUGUCAAUUUCUUUGUACUCUUAAUUAGACGCCUCAAAUAUUUCUGAUUUUGCUAAUAUUUUGUAAGGAUGAUCUAUGAGGUGCAACUUGAAAAAUACACGGUUUAGAUCGUUAAAGUUCAAUGUGGUGUGAACUCCACAACUAAUCCGCAUUUAAAAAUAAAUAAAUAGAGAUCGUUAAAGUUCGAUGUGAUUAACCUUAAUAUUUAUCAUUUUGUGUUUAUUUUUAUGAUCUCCAAUUGACAAAUUAAAAUUCAAACUCCCAGUACUAAAGUUUAGCACAAAAGAAAAUUGGGGUUUCGGAAAAUUGAAAAUUGAAAGUUUCAACAUUUCAAUCAAUAAUUCCACUCUUUGGUGAACAAAGAGACAUUUCACAAUAUGCAAUAUAUUAAACAAGAUCAAAUUACUAGUUGAUGCCAUCACACAAGUGAUACAAAGUAAUCACACAAAGCAACAAAAAAAAAAAAAGCGUUGGUUCAAUGGGGCAGCCCAGCUAUCCAUGAUGGAUCCGGAUGGCACCGACCCGUUAUCCUUCCACUGCCAAGAGCGGGAGGUAAUCGUUGCUCUGUGAAACCAGCCUUACGCGGUUCCAUCCGCUCUAGAAAUCGUGUAGCCUAGAGCCUUCGCUCAAGCCACACAACUCAACUCCUAGCUUGGAAUGGGCAGGCCGGAAUAGAGCCACUCCAGACCCGAACAGCCAACGCUGAACCAAUGUUCCAACACCUCAAUGCCCCCACUUGGGUUACAAGCUUGCGUUACCAAGCUCGACGAUUAUUCAUCCUUGUGCUGGUAUUAUGAAGAACAGUUUUGCACUUCACUUGCCCGAUGUGGGACUGUUUAACUAGCUUAAAUUUAUGUAUGUACUUUAGAAAAAUUUAAUUAUUAUUAUCAAAGAGAGGGAUGAUUCAAAACUAUUAUAAUAAUUUAAUCGAUGAAGAGUUUUGAAAUGUUAAAUAAGCAAUUGGAUCACCAUGUUUUUGAAAUGUUAGACAGAUUUCUAGCUGCUCGACAAAUACUUCUUUGGUCUUGAAUAUUUUGUUGUAGGCAAUGGAGCGACGGUACGCGUAUGACAGGAUAGGUGGCUUCCGAGGCCGAAUACAUUCAAAGUGUUAUCAGUGGCACCAGUUUCGCAGAAACAUAUGAGGGUGCAGGACCUACUUGAUCCGGUAAGCAAGUCUUUGAGCCUCGAAGUUUUAUCUGCGUUAUUUUUGGAGGAAGAGGUGAAUCUUAUACGCACUAUGCCUACUAGUAUUUGUAUGCCGGCGGAUUGUUUCAUGAGCGGGGAUUCAGAACAUUGAAAGUUCCAACAUUUCAAUCAAUAAUUCCACUCGUUGGUGAUCAAAUUACUGAUUACCUAACAAAUGAACAAAAAAAGCAUUGGUUCAAUUUAGGCAGCCCAGCUAUCCAUGAUGGAACUGGAUGGCACCGACCUGUUAUCCUUCCACUACUAAGAGCAGGAGGUUGUCACGGUUCCCUCUGCUCUAGAAAUUGUAUAGCCCAGAGCCUUUGCUCAGGCCACACAACUCAACUCCUAGCUUGGAAUAAAGCCACUCCAGACGCAAACAACUAACUCUGAACCAAUUUUCCAACACUUCAAUGCCACCACUUGGGUUACAAGCUUGCGUUACUAAUCACGGCGAUUAUUCAUCCUUCUGCUGGUAUUAUGAAGAGCAAUUUGUGCUUCACUUUGCCGAUGUGGGACUAUUUAACUAGCUUAAAUUUAUUUAUUUAUUAUAGAAAUUUUUAUUAUUUUUAAGAGGAGGGGUAGGGUUCAAAACUAUUAUAAUAAUUUGAGCGAAGGGAAGUUUCGAACCAAUGACGCAUAGGUAAAAAUCAAAUACCCUACCCACUAAGAUAUUCAACCACAUGCUACCACCUUCAAUUUAUGAGUAUGCAUCAAGGGUCUAAUUGUAAGCUCAACUUUUGGGCAUUAUGCAAGUUCAGAUAAGCAAUUGAAUCACCAUGUUCAAGCACACAGACAGAUUUCUAGCUGCUCCACAAGUACUUGUUGGCCUUCAAUAUUUUGUUUUUCAAGAUAAAAGAUGGGAAGUAAAGUUCACAAGGACAUGCAUUGACUUGAAUCAUGAUUGAAUGGACCUGGUAAUGCAUAUCUGUGUGUCUCAUUCGGGGGAGAGACUCUCGUGUAACCGGAGAGGCAAAUAUAUACUAGACAGUUGAUACACUAUUUGAACACAUAACGAUCAUUCAUUAGAUCGAGAAAGCCACUAAGACUGUAAUGGUUGCAAGAGAGAAUCUCUCCUCAUUUCGACAUCAAAUUAUAAUAAGAUUGAACUCGGACCACUACUCUGAUACGUCAUGUGGUAUACCAUCAUAAACAACAAAUUUUCGUUCCACUGCUCACUCUUUCAAUACAUAAAAAUUGAGGAGGCUUUGAUAACAUCAUAACAUUGAACUAUUUCCAGUACAUACUUAUGGGAAGUAUUUGGCCCUUCUUCAGAAGUAUAGAAGUGUGCAACAAUCAAAUAAAAUGUAUAAGUUGUGUUAAAAGAUGCAAGUGAUUAAGCAAGGCAUGCCCUCCUUGGAGCUGCCACGACUGCAAAUCCACCUCUGGCACAUCAACUAAAAAUUCAAUGAAAGAAGAAGCUCAUCUACCGUAAAACAUGUCAGACGCCUGGCAGACCAAUUUGUACACUUUCCUUCAUCAGUUCAUCCCCAAACUCGGAUUGAUUUUGGCCAAUUGUAGAUUUUGGCCAAUUGUAGAAACUUCUAUUUCGCUUUGGAAAAAUAUGCUUCCACAAAUGGACACUUGUUAUAACUUGUAACUACUAGCUAGACCUCGUGAACACAUAUUACAGCAACGCAGCUUCAUCUCAACUCCCCCAUUUAAUUUGGAUUGUGGUUCUUAAUCUUCACUAACUGACCGUGGGGAAACAAUACUACACAAAACGACAAACAAGAAUUUUGUGAGAGGCAAAGUUCAACUUACAGGCAGGAUGCCAGGAUCUCUCUCACUUUUUCGAUCUGAUGCUGAAGAGUGACACUAGGAGCUUGUUGAUGCAAGCAGCAAAAGAAGGAAGCAUAUUAGCGGCUCUACACUUCAUUUAAGGGAAACCUGAUUCCCGGGUAGCAGGUUCAAGAGAAUUUCAUUCCACAUAUCAGGUACGCCAGGUAAGCACCAAUGGCUACAAUCAGGGACUGAUGGAUUAUCGCUCCAGGUACCCACAUGCCCAUCACUACGGAAUGAUAACAUCGGUGUAACGUGUAGAAUUGUCACAGGAACCUUCAUUUUUUUCACAAUCUUUAUAAUGAUGUCUGAAAUUGUGCUUCGGUCCUUUCCCCAUGAGCUUGACCAAGGGUGUUUAGUCACUUUGCACGAAUUAUGGUUUCGGCCACUGGUACAUAUACAGAAUCACCAGCAGUCAAUUAUAUCAGCUUAUUUGCAUCUCAACUCAGGAGCAAAAUGAAUAAUUAAAUAUGUACCAGAAUUUAAAAGAUUUAGCUUCUACAAAGAAGAAAAUAGGACAACUUUAUAUAUUGCUUCAGAUCAGCCAAUCGAACCGGCAUUUCCAUGAAUAACCAUUAACUAAAGCAUUUAGAGGCCAAUAAAGACUUGAAAUUCCUUGCUACCCAAACACAUUAAAUCAAACUAAAAGUAGGAAAAAAAUCAAAAAUACAAGCAACCUUUUUAUUUCUGUAAAUAGUUUGUUAAGUUCCAAAUUCCAUGAAGAUUUUUAGCAAAAAAUGUCCAUUAAAUUACAACUACUUGGGACUAGCAUGGAUGUAUCAUGGCACAUUAUUUUCACCAGACGUAAAUAGCAAAGCAACAUGGGGAAUUAUAGAAUGCUUUAAUAAUAUAGUAUCGAUACAUGGAACAAAACAAGAUACUCCCUAUCUUUAAAGGGAAGCCAGAAGAAUAAAAUAAUUUUUUUCAUGAAACACAAGUAGGAGAUGCUAACUAAUAGCCAAAUGUAUCGCCAACAAGAAUAGAUUUGGUAGAGCUAGAUGCAAUCAAACCCCAACAGCCUUAGACACUAAAAUCAUUGGCAGCAAGUAUCAUAACAAAUAAAAUAAAUAACGCACCUCCAAUGCGAUGACUCAAAAGUCCUGAAGAAUACACUUGUCCUAUUUGUGUUGACCAUGGUCUCAACCCAAGAUGACCAGGUGUUUAAAGCUAUCCUGAACCCCGUGGUGAUUGGCAUUCCAAGCUUCAGAGAUUUACCUACUUGAAAAUAGCAGCCCCUGUACAAAAAAUGUUAAACUCGCUUUUUUUUUUUUUUUUUUUUUUUGAGAAAGCAUGGAAAGCUGAUUAAGAAGUCGAUUGUAUGUUGAGCAAGCAUAAUCAUUCAACAGGUGCAUACAUCAAGACAAGAUAUACUGGUUGACAAGGAAGGAAAACAGAACACUACUAUCUUACAUCAGAAUGCCCAACAUGCAAUCACAUCCACUUCCACAAACAAUCAUAAUCACGUGAAAAAGCAAAGUGGAGUGAGAGAAAGAGGGAUCCAUCUGCAUAACUCUACUACAGGCUGCACAAUGUUUUGGGAAUUGUAUCCUUAAUUCUUUUUGGGGUCUGAAAUGUAUACUGAAGCAGCAGUAUUUUGGUGAUAGUAACUGGUAAGUACUCUACCUAAGAAGUUGAUCAAGCAAAUUGGACCUGAAGUCGAAUGUUAACAUAACCGUCAUUUAUCCUUUGUACCCAUCAUUUAUGAUCUAACAUGUAUUUUUUAUUACAAUUCCAUACCCCUUUCCCCAGCUGGUGAAAAAAUUUUAAGCUAAAACAUAAGCAUAAAUAUCUACAAAUUAUACAAUAAUCAUGGCUUCCAUGGAGUUUGUAUCAGCAAACUUCAACCAAGACCUUGGCCACGCCCAUACUAGGGAUCUUCUACCUCUCUAGUAAAUUAGGCUUCUGAAGGGGCACUAACAUGCAUGGGGCAUUUAAACCAUUCUAUAAAUAAUAAGUAGCAUGCAUGCCAUAAAGAUGAAUACAUUCUAAUCCACUGCUUGCAUUAGUCAACAUUUAUACGAUCAAGCAUGGAGUAUGAAUGCACAAUGACAAGCUGUUAAUGGUGAAGACUCUGGAACUGAAUGUUGGAGGGGGCGUGGAUUGAAGAUAAAUGUAAAGUAAUUGAAUGGAGGGGAAAAGACAGACAAAUGCAUCCGGUAAAUAGAGAAUCAUGAAGCAAGUUUUUAAAUGUUUUUGACGUCAGAAAGCAUUCUACAACAAUAACUGAAAUUAGACAACGCUCAGAGAUUAAGAUAACUCACAUGUCAAAAAGUUUACUUGGUGUCCACCAGUGACCUGAAUUGAAAAUCAAAAUAUCAGAAUCGAUCCAUUCUUGGCUAAUGUCAUCCAACUUGUCAACUCUGAGAGUUGAUUUAACCCUCUUUGGUGAUCGGAUUGGAACUGAAGCAGGCUGUACUAGGAAAACUGACCGAUAGAAAUCAAUUCUGAGGUCAAAUGAACUAAAGUGUACCGAUAAGAAUCUAAUCUGCUUAGUGAUUUUUUUCCCAUUCACUUCAUAAACACUCUUCUUAUCCUCCACCCCUGUCAUGAGUAAACAUAUCAAAGACUCCCACUGUGUUCUACUCAACGAAUCGCCAACAAAAACAAUCCUCUUUCCACGAAGUUUUUCAAGAACCGCACGCACAUCAAACCUAGGAAUAUCACAAUUCUUUGGCUUCCACCUCCACUUGGCAUAACCCCCGUCUUUCCGCCCAUUAGCAAAGCAAUUAAAUCCAAUUUCUGUAAAUGGGCAUUCUGAGGCAUUGUACAAAGGGUAACUUUCAUCUUGAAUCCACCUUCCUUCGAAAACAUCACAUUUAUCAGUUGCACUACUACUGGAAUUCGAAACCGGGUAACUAUUAACCACUGGGGGAACACUGGGAAACAAAUACAAAAAGGCACAAGACAUUGCAACAACAAAGAACACCAAUGAGCCAAUUGCAACUAAUCCAUUGUAAGUUUGAAAAACCAAGAUUUUACAAUGACCCUUCAUCAUCUCAUUACCGAAAUUCAAAACCCUUUUGUAGAAAGGCCUGAAUUGAACAAACCAAUCCCAAUUAACAUUCCUCACCAGCUUCAUCAUUUGGUAAAAGAACCCAGAUGAAAAAGUUCCCCAAUUGCAAUCAUAUAAUAUGCUACAGCAAACCAGAAGAAAAUCCAAUUAUGAAAUUAAAAAUCCCUCAACAAAGUAUGAAACUUGAGCCAAGAAUUAGCAAAAUUUGGGCUCUUGGAGAAGACCCAUCAAGCAAAUGAGCAAAGUAAACAGCAAUCUUACAGAUUCACCAACUGGGGUCUUGCAGAAAAGCACUUUCUGGUGGUGGGGUUGGCAGCUUCUGUUAGAAGCAGCUAUGAAGAGAAGUUGGUUGGUGGAGUGGAGGAAAAUGGGAUACUAAGUCAGAAGGUGAAGGAUGAUGACAUUUUUGGUUAGCUUAGAACCUGGUCCUUCUGGGUGACUACAAUACAAAGACCUCUCAACUGAAAUGUGGGGACUGGGAUUUGCAAAGUGACUCUUGUCGGUGGGUUUUUAAGCAAAGACCAAGGACAACUCUCGUUGGGCUUCAACGCGUAGAAUAACUCUAUUGCUUGGAAUUGGAUGGAGACAAGUUCAACUCGGAACAAAGGGUGGGUUGGUUGUUGCUUCUUCAUCCCCAGCUGUUCUUUUGGACUGUAGUUGACUGAUAGAUUGUCUUUUUAUUUUUUUUUUAUGUAGUAAAUUAUGUAAUCGUUUAUUUGUCUUAAUGAUUCAUUAAAUUUUACGUUUUUUAUCAAACUCAAACGUAUAAUGCACAUAUAUUCGCAGUUUUCACGUUUAACAAGUAGAAGAAUGCAAAAAUACAACAUCAUUUACUGCCAAGUUCGUAUAUUUCUUAAAACAAAGUAAUGGGAAUUGCUCUUAAAUUGUCUAAUCUUUUUGUACAGAUAGAUAACACGGUUUCUUUGUUGAAUGAAUUUCAUCGUAUGCAAGUCUAUCAAAAAGUGAUGUAAUGUUUUGUCAUCGUAUGCAAGUCACGGUUAUCUAUCUCUUUUAGGACCGAAGAGGCUAUGAAAAAAUAUAUAUUAAAAUAAUUUUUUUUUAAAAGGUCUUAAAUAAAUUCUUACCAUUAGUUUGUCUUUUAUUAUUUAGCCAAUAAUAUAUUUACACAAAAACAUGGGAAAUUUGGUCUAAAUCACACAAUGAGUCUCAAUCAAUAAUAAUAAAUUACUAGAUUCGAACAUAAUACUUUUUACUUUUGAGUCCAAAAGUAUGCCACUAAAUUUUUGUUACCAUUAGAUUGUUGUACAUAAUAGUUUCAAAUUUGCAAUCAUAAUAUAUUUCAUUUUCGUGAAUUUGUUGAAAAAUUGGUCAUCUGGGAUGUUGUCACUCCCCAUCACCACCAGAUUCCAGACGUGGACAGAAGAAGGAACCUUUUGGUAUACAACCUAUUAUUGUUGUCAAACCCGUUUUUGUUGCUUCGAAAAGGAAAAGGAAAAGCAAAAGCAAAAGAAUAGGAAAAGGAAAAAGAAUGAGGCAAAAACUAAUUCUGUCUUUCAUUUUCUAGGACAAGGAGAAGGAAGCAGAAGCACACAAAAAAGAACAACUACAAUGCAACGGCUUCAAGUGAAAUAACCAAGGAGGAACCAAAGUUAAAUUAUGAGAAAAACAAAAAGGAGGAUUGUGGAGUCAAAAAUAAUCACAAGGCGACAAGUGGAUUUUUUGACAGAAAAUGACAAAAAUACCUUUGCGGUACAACGGGAUUCCUACGCGCGAGCAGCGGGCAACCCUUCUUCAACCAAGUCAAAAGUGUCCAAAAUAGGUAACAAUUUAAAGCAUAUUUCAUCAAAUCCUUUCUAUAAGGUAAUUCUCAAAACCUAAUUUAUUCCAUAUAUUUUCUAUUUCAUUAUUUAGCUAACCAAUUAGCUAAAUAAUAUAUUCCUUUCAUAUUUCCUAAAAUCUUCCUUUAAAAACAUAAUAAUUGACUAAUUAAAGGAUUAAUUGUCUAAUCAAUCCCCUAAUUGUCAAUUAAAUCACCCAUUCAACCCCAAAAACAAGUCAAAGGCCGGCCAUCCCCAUUCCAAAAUGAGUCCACCAUACUUUCUACCCUUUUUUUUUUUUUUUUUUAUCAUUUCUCCCUUUUAAUUGCACUAAUUAGCUAGCCAAUUAAUUUCAUAACCACCAAAAUUGACACAUCCCGAUCGAGGUCAAGGCAUGCUAGCCGUCACGUGAGAGCGGCGUAGCCAUGUGCACAAUGCGAAAGCGAUAAAGAUAGCAAAUAUAUGAAUAAUUAAAAACCACAUUUAUAGAGUGCACUACUAACAACAAGUGAUAGGAGUUAGUUACAACUGUAAACUCUCCUAAUCAGAGCAUAAUAAGUCUAGGUGCAGGCCAGUAGGACAAGUACUAGUUACACAGUACCAGGAAUGUCCUACUAUACUAUAGAAUAGUCAGAACAGCCGAUGUCCUCGAGCCACCAACAGCAAGCUUUCUUAAAACCUGGAGGGGCGCAAAACAGAAAACGUGAGUGGGCAAAAACAAAUGUUUUACAAAAUCAUUUCAUAUAUCAACAUAACUAACCUCUCGCUGUAAAACAUGUAUAAUUUUUCCCAGAAUCAAGAUAUAAGCAUAUACAUAUAUAUAUAUAUAUAUGUAUAUAUGUAUAUAUAUAUAUGUAUAUAUAUAUAUAUCUGAAAUCAUAUCAAUUCAGUUCAUGCUUCACAUAAUCAUAUUCAUAAGUAUAUAUGUCAUGCCAAGAUAUAAUAGAGUAAACAAUUCAAGUAAGAAUAAUUUCAUAGAAAUGUGAUAUGUUAGCCGGAACUUUUGUGGUAGUAUAUAUUGCUGAAUUCAUAGCUCAAACUCAAUAUAGCUGGAGUCACUACUAUGACCUAUACAGCAAUAUAUUGCACAUAAGUCGGAACCACUAAAAAGGGUCUGUACGACAAGAUUGGGUGAAAUAAUUAUGCUCAAUUCUAUUCUCUCAUAAUAGUCGGACGAUAAAUCGUUAGUCACCUACGAGUUGGAACCAUAAUAAGGUCUGUACAACAAGACUGUGCACUUAAGUUGGAUCCAAUAUGAGCAUAUAGUGCGGGAAGUGACGUAAAUAAAUAGGCUUGUACUUCAUAUCUCUGGCUAAUUCACAAUCACCCUAGGUGCAGCUUUAUAAGCUCAACAUUACUUAAUCACAUAUCACAUCAUCGAUGAUUCACACAACCAAACAUAACUUACCUGAACUCACAUGUGCCUUCACAGCACCACAUUUAUAUAUAUAUGCAACCAUGCAAUGCAUAUUCAAAAUAUAGAAGCAUUUGGCAUAUUAUUUCAAAGCAUACUUUCCUAAAAAUGCAUUUCUGGGAAAUAUAUCAAGUAUAUAAACAUAUAAUGAAAACAAAAGCCCACUUAUUGGUAUGUCGAAGGCUCGUAGCCCCCGAGUCGCCCGUGGAUACGCUCUUCCUCUGGAUAAGUCUCACCUAUAUGCGAAUUAACUAUAAAAACGUUAUUUUAAAGCACAUAAGCAAAACUAGCUAAUAAUUUCUCAUACAUUGCUCAAUUUUGGUAUUUAAAUAUACCAAUGUGACCUACACAACCUCACGAACAUCGUGAUAUUUUUAGAUAAAUUUUUAGGUGGCUCACGCGCCCCCACGAGCCGGGGAGGGCACGGCCUCACGUGCCCAACACGCGCAUCAUCUUCAACCUCCAGACGUCGGAAUUGUGUCACCAGUGCCGAAUUAUGGGCAAACCUGCAACUACCUUUUUCUCACUCGUUUUUACACCAUUUUUCACGCAAUUUAUACCAAAAUGAAGCUCUUAGCUUGUAGAACAUGAUCAUACUAAUUUAAAGCUCUAAAAGUCAUGGGAUCUCACUGGAGAAUUCCAAGAAAAUCGGCCAAACUUCGUCCACACGAUCCCGACGUCCAAAACCUUCAAACGAAGCACUCCGAGCUUCCUUGGGACCUCACUAAGCUCACUAUGAGCUUGGAUUAUCCUAAAGCAUAACCAUUUAAAAGUUCGUGAAUAGUGCUCAACUCGGAGCUUGAAUUUUCAACGUGAUAUCGAACGAGUUCUUACCUAAAACGGGUACAUUUGAACUCGUAUGGUCCUCACGAACACAAUGGUACUAAUUUUGGCCACGAUCCGUGAAGUUUCAAGGGUCUUGGGUGCUUGUCCGUACCAUUUUGAAAGAGAGAGAGAGUGAAAUCGAGAAAGAGAGAGAAGAGAGAGCACAGGAAAGUGAGAGAGAGACAGGAUGUGUGGUCCAGAUUUUUGGGUAACAAUCAAAACAACCCAUUUUCCUUACUUCCAAUUAGGUCCAAAAUAAUAGGAACUUAACACAUUGGUCCUCAACCACACAUAGUCCCACAAUGCCACAAACGCUCAAGGGCAUUUUAGUCUUUUCACAUCAACGAUAACAAAAUAAUGUACAUUUCCAGGACGGGUUGUGACAAAAACAUUCCCUUUAUAUUUAAUUAGCCAAUUAAUCAUAAUAAAUUGGCUAAUUAAACCAAAAUUAAACCCAAAAACCUUACCUCAUGGUCGGCCACUCCUUCUCCAAAGAGGCUGGCCUAUCCCUAUAAAUAGGCUCCCAUUUUCACCAAAAGAUGAUUCCAACACACUUGCAAAAUUCUCAAUACUUUCUAAACACGUUUCUCUCUAAAUUCUAAAUUUGGCAUCAGAGGUUUUUCGGCCAAAGCCCCCCUCAUUCAUCGUGGGCGCAUAAGGCUCUUGGCCUUGACCCUAAGUUGUUAAUUGUUUUGUAGGUGCAACUUUGUCCAAGAUCAAUGAGGAAGAAAUUUGCAUCAACAAGGAUCUUUCUCUUCGAAGAGAGAGCUCUUCUCUCUGAAGUGAAAGUCAUUCUCACUAUUUUUGUGAGACUUUCAAAUCUAAGCAUUUACGGUAGCACCGGCCCUAGCUUCAGCUGGGGUCGGUUGCUGUGUCCUCUUUUCUCUUUUUUCCUUUUUUUCUCCUUGCAUCUACUGGUGGUUCUCCCAAUUUUUCAAUCGGGACUGUCCAAUUCCUCAACCCAUUCAAGUAUACCUCUUCCAGGCUUUUCCUUGCUUUGAUCUUUAGCCAUGUUUUCUAUUGAGUUCGUGUGUAGAGUUCCAGCGCUUUUACCGGCUCGGGUGUUUCCAACACCACCACGUUCUCCUUGUUGUCUGCCAUUUCCGGCAAUGUCGCUCAGGGAUUUCCCUGGUUGUUGGCUUCUCUCUCUUGGUUGCCAACUAUCUCUUGCUUAUGGUUGUGCACAAGUGAUGUCUGAGGAGGUGAUGAUCGGUGGUGGACGGAGAAUCGGAUAGCUGGAUGCUUCUCAGAACGGCGGUGGAGAAAGCAGUGGAUGCUUCUCAGAAUUUCUGUUGUUUUUGGGCUUUACUGUUGUUGAGCUCACUUUCUAUUAUUUCUUUAUUUUUAGGCCUUUUUUUGUUUGUUUAUAUGUGUAAGUUGGGUCUUUGUUUGUUUGUAAGUGUGUGUUUGGUGUUUUAAUAAAAUCUUUCCCUUGACCCAAAAAAAAAAAAAAAGGGUUAAAUUAUAAGUCCAAUUAAAAUUCACGGUGUGUUCAAGGAACAUGAUAAACUCACAAUUUAUAAUCCAAUCUUCUUUCUGUCUAUAUCUAGUUCGGAAAAAUGAAAACUCAAAAUUAAAAAACAACAUUUUUUUAAGCCAAAAUAGUACCUAAGAUUAGCAUAACUUCUCACUUUAGUCCUUGAAAUCAUUUUGGUCUUCUUUAAAGGCGAUUAUUCAAAUAAUGACUAAAAUAAUUUACAGUUGACAAAUUCGAAAACUACUUAUAUCAAUUUUAAAUUUCAGGAAUCAAAAAUAAAAAAUUAUUUCUUUUAGGAAUCAUUUUGGUUAAAAUACCGAAAAUGAAAGAGUCAUCCAACAAAUCCGAAGGACCUUCGUUCAUAAAUCAAUUUAUUUACAUGAGCGAAUGUAAAAAUAGAGGGAACUUGUCAGACUACCGUGCAACCAACCCAUACAGAGAAACUGGCUGAGAAUGAUCGUCUACCGCUGAUGGAAAUCACGCUCUGAUUGCACGGUCAUUAUUCAUCUACCGAGUUGGGAUUCCUGUCUCCUUAGAAAUCAAGGAUACAGAGGUACAAUUUUAUAGAACAGAUCCUGUUCAAGUAAGGUCGUGAACUACUAUCCUUUGUUCGGGUAUUUGACCAGCUAUACUAUUUUGGACACGGUCGAUGUGGGACUCAAGUGCGGUGUUCUGCUUAACAGCUAAAGAGCUCGCUUUCUCUUUUUUUUGUUCGAUUACUUUCUAAGCCUGAAACUGCCGUCUUUAUAUUUAAACAAUACAUAAAAGUUGUGUCAUUGUUUUGGGAGAUUUUUACAAGUUAAAACAUGAUUAAUUGUGUUGGUAGAUUGUAAUGUCAUUGUUUUGGGAGAUUUUUACAGGUUAAAACAUGAUUAAUUGUGUUGGUAGAUUGCUUGUACGUUUGUAUCAAGUUUCUCUGAAAACUGAGCUUUCUUGGUGGUCACUGAUGGGGUCUCAUGUGAUAAUUCUAAGAUUUAGCUAUGGAGAAAUGCAGAGAAAGAAUUCGAAGAGAGAGAGUAGUGAGAGAAACUGAAACUUUUUCAUAUAUUCACUAUUACAUCCUUUGCCUUUUUAUAAAUACAACCACACACAACUAACUUCUAGAUUCACCAAUACAAUAGAGACACAUGGCAGUGCCUAACAACUCUAUCAACUAACAAUACAUCAUGUAAUCUAACAUUCCCCCUCAAUCUUAUGCUAGGCAUUCCCAAGCAUAAGAUUGGAACAAUGAGAACUAAACAAUGGAAAACACAAACCCUCGGUAAAGAUAUCAGCAAACUGUUCUGAUGAUGCAACAAACUGCAACAAAAUUGUUCCUUGCUGAACCCUUUCACGCACAAAAUGGCAUUCUAUUUCGAUGUGUUUAGCUUUAGAAUGCAAAAUGGGAUUAGUUGCUAGAGCCAUGGUAGAUAUGUUGUCGCAAUGAAGCAAUGGUGUAACUGAAGAAGAAAGAGACAGAUCCUUAAGUAAUUGUUGAAGCCAUACCACUUCAGCAGUUGUAUUUGCCAUUGCUCUAUACUCGGCCUCAGUAGAAGAACGACUAACAGUAUGUUGUUUCUUCGAACUCCAAGAAAUAGGAUUAUGACCUAAAAACAUAAUGAAACCAGUUGUUGACCUUCUGUCAUUGGGAUCCCCAGCCCAAUCAGCAUCUGUGUAAGCUCUAAUAUCCAAAUUGCCAAGUUUAAAACACAAUCCAAGCUGCAUAGUCCCUUUAAGAUACCUCAAGAUGCGCUUGACCACAACAAAAUGACUUGCAAGUGGAGAAUGCAUGAAUUGACAAACUUGAUUAACCGAAUAGGCUAUAUCAGGUCUAGUAAAAGUCAAAUACUGGAAGGCACCAACUAUACUUCUGUAAAUACCUGGAUCAGGAAUUAGAGGGUUACCAUAAGUUAAGAGCUUUUGAUGAAGAUGACAAGGAGUUGUACAAGGCUUACUGUCUAGCAUAUUUGUCUUGUGCAGCAAGUCCUUGAUAUAUUUAGACUAAUGAAUAAGUAUUCCCUGAGAUUGAUACUCAAUUUGCAGACCAAGGAAAUAAUGUAGAAUUCCUAAAUCCUUCAAAUCAAACUCCCUAGUUAAUUGGUGUAUCAUAGAUUGAACAUAGGAAUCAUCAUCUCCACUGAGUAUAAUGUCAUCAACAUAUAGGAGCAACACAACAAUUGAAUGACCAUUAUUUUUUACAUAUAGAGCUGGAUCAACAUAAGAUGCUUUAAAACCCAAACUAAGAAGGAAUCUGGAAACCUUUCAUUCCAUGCUCGAGGAGCCUAUUUAAGGCCAUACAAAGACCUUUCAAGUUUGCACACAAACUUUGGACGAUCCUUGUCAAUAAACCCCUGUGGUUGAGACAUAUACACUUCUUCAUCUAGAAAUCCAUGCAGAAACGCAUUUUUGACAUCUAAUUGUUUAAGUUUCCACCCAUUUGUAGCUGUCAAUGGUAACAUCAAUCUGACUGUAGUAGGUUUAACUACAUGACUAAAGGUUUCAUAAUAAUCAAGGCCAGCUUCCUGAGAGAACCCCUUGGCCACUAAACGAGCCUUAUACCUUGCAACAGAACCAUCAUGAUGUCUUUUAACCUUAUAAAUCCACUUACAACCCACCAAGUUCUUAUGAGGUGGAAGUGGAACUAAGGUCCAUGUUUUCUAUUUAAGAAGAGCCUCCAUCUUCUCAUUCAUUGCACAUUUCCACUAAGAACACUUUGAAGCAGCAUUGAAAGACUGAAGUUCCCAAUCCA